Molecule: long non-coding RNA, 83893 nt
Filed under: Xyrichtys novacula (pearly razorfish)
Lineage: Eukaryota; Metazoa; Chordata; Actinopteri; Labriformes; Labridae
Source: RNAcentral
CCUGCAACAGUCUGUCAUUGUGAUUGCACAAGACUAGAUUUAAAGUUACGCAUUGACGCGAGCAGCGAUUUCCUCCCAUGCCCUCUCCCUCUCCUUUGCAGCUGCUGCUGUAUUGCACUUUCUUUUAAAAACGUGCUGUAAUUCGCCGUUGGCUUGCUGCUGCCCCCUCCUUCUCCCUGUUUCCAUUGGUUGAUCAAUGAAUCUGGGCUCCACAGAUGCUGGCUGUUUAUGUCUGGCGUGCACGUGCUUAACUCCAGGUCAAACUACUCGGAGUUGCUAAAACUGUCUCAAAUCAGGUGUUGUGAAACCGGAAACUCAGAGUUUCCUAUCUCAGAGUAGAUCAACUCAGAGUUAAGGAUUUAACUCAGAGUUUGUUGAACCACCUACGUGAAACGGACCCCAGGUUGUAUAGAGGCCCUCUGAUACAGCACCAAAAAUCAUUUCAAAACCUGCAACAUAUAAAGAAAGAGUGGAGCAAGGCCACAGGUUCUAACAUUAUCACAUCUCUUUUCUUCAUUUCAUUACCUGAUGUUUGAAGGAAAAUCCCCACAGUCACCUGUGGACAGGUUACCAUGGUUACCAAACAAUUUUGUGAAACAUGCUGCUUACACAGAUUGCUGCCUUGACAUGAUCAGCAGAUGCUCUUGAAAGCAGCCCAGCUUAUAAAUUCUUAUUAAUAUAACUGAUUAUAUUCUUUUACUAAAUCUGUCAGUGUGUCUUUUUUUUACUUUCAUACCACAAAGGAACUAAACCAGGGAUAUUUCUGUCCAUGCUAAGACAGCAAAGUAGAGCAUCUUAAGCAGAGGUGUGGUGUGCUUAUGAACCAAAUAUCUAAAAUAUAUCAAAUUAAAUUCAGUCCAAGAAAUGAAAGAUAAAGCCUGCAAUCACACAGACGUAGGACACAAAUUAGUUUGAAUGCCAUAUGCUUCCUAAGUGUCUGAGCAGAUGGAUUUUUAUCUGCUUUUUUAAGAGUUGACAGAAUCCUUAAACCUCAGGCUUAACAGACGACCAUUCAAAGCAUAUGGGCUGCCAACUGGAAGAUGGAGAGAACUUAGUUCUUACAAAUAUUUUUAAGGGUCACCAAGAAAUGCCUGUGAAGAGGACCUGUGAUCUUGACCCGUGAUAUAAUGGUGCCAAAGGUUUGUCAUUAGCUUUGGAGCAUGUAGCGCUCUGAACAUGACUUGACAUUAAAUAUAUUAUGUAUAUAUAAUAAUCUAUAGUAUAGAAAUUCAGUGUGUCAUCAAGCAUAAAAAUAAACAUCCAUUUCCAUAGAAAACAUUUGGAAAAUAGCUCCCUUUCUCAGGACUGUGUGGGCGCAGCAGCUAACGUGUUGAUUGAACAGUCACGACACAAAGUGGUGCAGCAUGCCACCCUAUGUGUUUGAGCCUUCUGACUCAGAAGUGAAGGACAGAGAAACUCAAGCACCUGAAAAUAACUCUUAUCAGGUGGUCUCUGAGUGGUGAGUCACAAAAUCACUUCUAUUACUUGCUACAUUUAGACUUAGUAAUCUCCACGUCCUGGACAUCAGGGACAUGUGAUCCCAAACAGGUGGAGGCUGAAGUGCAGGAUGGCACAUGACGCACUAUAGCUGAGCUAACUUUCUGAGCAUUGCUUAGAAAAAGGUCAUGGGGGAAAUGAGUGGACUGCUUUCCUAUGACUCUUCCAUAACUCACCACCACAACCCUCCAAAGCCCUUGUGAUCAUCAGGUUAAGCUCUUUGCUUGUUAAAGACCCUUAAAUUCUGUCUAUAACUGUUCUGGUCUUUCAAAAUUACUCGGAUCAUGAGGAUGAGCCUUACUGGUUUUGGGUGAAAAUUCCACGUGGAGCUUUUGUAGUUGUUCUAUGGCAGUGGUUCUCAAGUCCAGUCCUCGAGGCCCACUGUCCUGCAUAUUUUGGAUGUUUCCCUGCUCCAACACACCUGAUUCAAAUGAUUAGCUCCUUUUUAAGCCAUUACGGAGCUUAAUAACGAGCUGAUCAUUUGAAUCAGGUCUGUUGGAGCAGGGAAACAUCCAUACAUGCAGGACAGUGGGCCUCGAGGACUGGACUUGAGAACCACUGCCAUAGACUGUCACGGGGGGCUGCUCAGAGACUCAGGUGCAGAUAAAGGAGAGACACAGCAUACAUGCAGAUACACAGAAAAGGGUUUAUUAACAACACUAAGUAACAAAAAAAUUAAUGCAGUCAAUCUGGAGAACUGAGGAAGUGGGUCAAACAAGAACUAAAUGCCUUUAAGAGGAUACUACUUGUGUGGAUAAAAAUAAAUAAAAAAUAAGGGUCUUCUACAAACCAAACACAUCUAAACUAACUGAUCUCGGAGAAGCUAAAGAAUCUAAAAAGAACAAAAAAAAAACCUCAAAAAUCUGACAAACUAAGCUACAUGCUGAGAGGAAAACAAAACACACUAAAAGACUCACAACUGUUUAUGUUUAUUCAGCUUUCAGCAUGAUCACAGACGUUUAAAAAAGACAGAUGCCAUUAAAAACACUGAAUUAUUUUGCUGAUUACAAAAAAUAAAGCUUCAAAUAUAAAAUGCAGCUUAAGAAGCAACAACCUAAAAACUUAAAAAGCUAAACAUCAUUCUCAUUUAGUAGUCUGCGCAUAUAUGGGAUUGGGGAUUUCUUGUAUCUCUCAGUUCGCCAUGUUGGGGUGUCCAGGCCAUCUCCAUUCCGUGUUUGUCGUCCAGAGAUCUCUUUCCUGAGUGGGGGUAGCCAGUUUCUGAAGUUGGACUUGAACAGCUUCCUGGCAAAAUCAAGACUUAGUUGAGUGCGCCUCUCUGCUAGGGAGCACAAUUUGAGGGUGUGGAGAGCUUCUGUGUAUCCUAUGUACCGCUGGCCCAGAAUGAUUCUGCUCGCCCGUUUUUUAACUCUUUCCAGACUAUUUGACUGGCUGGCAGUAAGGGAACUGUGCCAGACUGGGACAGCGUACUCCAGCGCUGGCCGAACAUAGCCUGUGUAGAUGGAGACCAAUUCUGGGUCUUUGACACCAAAUUUCUUCAGACGGCAUAGGACAAACAGCUUUCUGUUGGCUGAGGUCAACAUAUAGUCCACCUGACUGUUCCAUUUCAAGUCAGCUUGAAUGGUGACCCCCAGAACUUUGACUGUGUCACAAACUUCCAGUAUGUUUUGGUUUGGUUUGGUUUUAGUUGGUCCCACAACUACCCUGACUAGAACUAAUCGACCCAGUGAGCUAGUAGAGAGCCUUGCUACAGGAUCCAGUAGAGGGAGAAGAUGAGAGAAGGCAGUCUGAGGAGGUGUGCAACGCAGCUGAGUGCUUGAAAGGUCCAGCAGGGAAGCAGAGAAGAGCAGGAUCUGAGUUGUGGGAGCAGUCAGGUUUUAUGGCAGAGGUCUGAGUUGCCUGUUCCUGUCUGCACUCAACACACCUCACUCACGCCCACUUGGGGAAAAAAAGGAAAAGAGAGAAAGAAGGGGAAAGGGAGAGGCUGCCACUUGGCAGAGCUGGAGGGCAUUACUUAGACCUUUAGGUGGAGCUAACCUGGGGCCUUAUGUAUCAACGCUUGUGGCGCAAGAAAACCUUGCGUACGCCAAAAUCGGCGCACACGUCCAGAUUUAUCAUCGCGAAACAAGCGUCGGUUCCAGCGCUAAUCAACGCAAAGUCAGGAGGUGGUGUAGAAAUUGGCGUUGAGCCGAUACUUGCGUUGACUGUGAUUCGCACUUUGGCGACGCUGUGUGGCGGUGUUUGGUGACUCACUAUGUGACAAGCGUGCACCACAUCCCCGUGGCCGAGCAGCACGUCGCCCCACAUGACGAACCAGCAGCAGACGGAGGGAUGCGAGCUGAUCCCUGCCGGGCCGCCGUCCUCGCGCGGGAGAAUCUGAUCGCCACAGUGUGAAUGGGUAAGAAGUGAAUAUACAGUUCAAUGAGCCAAAUUAAUUUAUUUUCUCCACCAGACGCUCGAGGACAUUUACGAGCCGGUCCAGCUGCUCGUUGAUCCCCGCAAUCCCCCUGAUGAUUUCUUCCUGCGAUUGCAGGAACCCCUCCGCGAGGACCCUUCCACUGCGUCCGGGUGGUCCAGCGGAAGCGCCGCGGCUGGUGGACGCUCCACCGCUUGUCGGCGCGCUGGUGCUGAUGCUGGUGCUGGGGCCGGGGGCUGGGGUGGCCCGAAUGCCGCUGGUCCUGGCCGACGACUCCAAGCCGGCGGACGGGCUGCCGCGGGCCGGGGUUCCGCAAGCCGGCGACACGGCCGACACAUUGAUUUCUGUGACGCAAUAAAAAUAUUAGUUCAUUUCAAUUCCUGCUUCUGUGUAUCUGUUGCGUUUACAUCUCUCUCCACGGUAUCAUAGGUAAUGUAAUCCAGUAUUUAGAGGUCAGUUAUGCACAUUACAGUUGUUUAUUGCAUAAAAAGUUAUCGAAAAAUGAAGUUAAGGGCAAAGUAUAAAUCACGUCUAAAAAUAGACUGAAUCCCGACGUUGAAAUGAAGUAUAAACUUAGACUAGACGUCUAAUAUACGUCUUUUGCUCAGUGGGAUGACAAAGCAUGCGGACAUUUGUGAGACACGCCACUUACCCUAUAAUAAUAAUCGCCACCACCCGCUGCUCAAACGGUGUGAGGGUCUCCUCCCCCGGACCCCCACCUGUCUGGCCAGUACUCCUCCGGAGGGCAGCUGUUCGCCGCUUGACCUCCACCUUGAGGUCUGACCACUUUUUUUUUAAUGUUCGCGGGGGUGCGUGUCUCGGAACCCACCGCAUUCACCCUCUCGCAAACUUUCUCCCACUCCAAGCGUUUUUGAUUUGCACUGACGCCACUGGACAGGCUGCCAAACAAAACACGCUGUCGCUCCUCCACCUCCGCCACCAGCACCUCCACCUCGCACGCCGUAAAUUUAGUUUUUCUUGUCAUUUUGUCUGCGUGCGAGGACAGGGAGACCCUAUUUAAAUAAAUCUGCAUAUUUAUAGGAGGGCGUAACGGGGACGGGCCCAGUCACUCCGACAUCUGCGCUCAAUUCCACGCUGAUUGGGAUUUAUCAAGGAAACACACGUGGAUUUCGGCGCCCGCACACAUUGAUACAUACAGAUUUUUUUCAGCGUGACGGACCUUGCAUGCGCUCGUUUCUGGUAUGAGUUCCACGCAAGUGUUGAUACAUGAGGCCCCUGGUCUUUCCAAAGCCAUUAGAUUCUCAGUUGGAGCUCUUUUGGUCGUUCGAAGGCCCUUAGACCUUUAGGUUCUUACAUUCUCAGGUAGAGCUCUUCUUGUUAUUUCAAAGCUCUAGUUGUUCCAUGAGUAUAUGAUUCUGAGUUGGAGCUCUUCUGGGUGUUGCAAAGCACUUAAAACCUGAGACACAGCUUUUCUAAUCACUGCAAAGCCCUUUGAUCCUCAGAGCUCUUGGAUUCUUUGUUGGGCAUUUUGCUUUUUUGCUUCAGAGCCCCAUGACUUUUGAACUACCUCCCAGAGGAUAUAAGGCGUGCAGACAUCUUUUACAUACUUUUCAAAUCACCUGCUAUGCCUUUUUUUUUUCUUUUUACUGCUUCUCAAUUAAACUCCAUUGGUUUCUUUCAUUGGUCUAGAUUAUUGACUUUGAAAGUAAGUGGUGUUGUAAUAAGUGAAAUUAUGUCAAGUCAGCAAGUUGUUAUGGAGGUAGAACCCCUAAAUUGUCAACCAAUCCUUCACAACACAGCUGUUUUGUGCCAGAUAAUACAUUUCGGGUGUGACUCUGCACUUUUAAAAGGGGCCACCAUAUGCUGUUGCAUGCAUGUCAAAUAAGCGAGCAUAUCUGAUUGCCAAUGACUGUCACGGCUGCUGUCACACAUGAGCUGCUGAAUUAACUUCAGAUUCCCUCUCAGUUGUCUUGGCACGUUUUAGAGUUUUCAGCCAGCUUCAGCACUGUGUAAUUGUCAGGUCAGGAUGUGCCAUGGCAUUUUGACCUUUGUGUUUUAUGCUGUGUCCUUUCCUGUCCUUCGCCUGUGCUUGGUUCUAGGCGACACACACAGACAGGAGGAGAUGCAGGGAGGCAGCAAUGGAUGGGUAGGAGGGAUAAAGGUGGCAAUUUGGCAAUACCAGCAAAGCAGUGAAGUGCAAUCAAAAGUCUUGUUCUCUCUGCUGCACUUUGUGUGUGUGUGUGUGUGUGUGUGUGUGUAGUGAUGUUCUGAGUGAGACUCCAUUAGUGAGUGCCACUGUCAGGUCACCAAACAAGGUGCCUGUCAACUACCAGAGAAGAAAAGACUAGAAUAAACAAAUGACAGACGUGCUAUGACUGUGUUUUAGACUAAAUUUCAGCAGAGUGUGCUCUAAAAGCAGCAAUCACUUUGAAGUGCCAGAAUCGAAAAAUGUCCUACAAUACAUGGCUGCAAAGCUGAAAUUCAUCAAAACUGGAUCAUCAAAUAACCCAGAUGUAAAAUUGGAUGGACUGCUUCCUCCAACACUGGUUUCCCCCUUUUAUUAAUGUGCUUUAAACACUAUCCUUAUUAAAUUAAUCUUUAAUUACCAUUGCAGUCAUCAUCACAGAUCAUUCUAUCUUCAUGUUUGAAAGUAGUUUUUUUUCCUUUUCUUUUUUUUUUCUCCACAUUGGGGGUGGCUUAAAAUACCUCAGCACUAAAGGACCUCUGUUGCAGUUGCCAUGGAGAAGUUGCAAGUCAAAUUUGCAAAUCAGAGCUGUAGAAACUUAAAAGCCCAUGAUAUUCAGUCUGGCCAAUCAUGGUGCAUUGGUGUGAACAUUUACCGUAGCUUUUUAAACAUACAGAAUUUGAGGUGUGAUAAUAUUUGAAACCCUAUAUGUAGUGGGAGCCUGCAGAUGGAUGCAUGAAGGUGGUGGAGCUGAAAGUUUGAGUGCAGCAGGUGCAGGUCAGCAGAGAUAAUGACAGACAGAGCAGAGAAUGAGAGAGCUGAAAUCAUCACUGCUUAAUUGGUUAGAUAUGUUUGACUGUGAGAAGGACAUAUAGCAAAUGUGAACUCAGCACAGGGCAAGUUACCCACCUGAAGUAGAUCAAGGCAUGACAGUAUUCAUUCAUGUACAUUUUAUUUGUUCAGAAAUGUUCUUAUUGAGAUUGCCUUUUUAAAGAGGAAAGCACAAACCUUUACUUGAAGAGCAAGCAGCUGAUUUGACAGUGGCCUUUAGCUGGUCAGCAUUUUUGGUUUAGGAGUUUCUCACCUUCAUAUGGAUAACUGUUCAGCAGACUCUUUUUGGGAUUUAGCUCAGGCCACUUGGCUGGCUAAGUAACCCAAUGGUCUGUAAACCAGUUUGUAGGAAUUUUGGCGCUGUGGGCAGGUGCAGGAGUCCUGCUGGCAAAGGAAACCAGUAUAACCAUAAAACUUGUCAGCAGAUUGAAGCAUAGGGGUGUUUAAAACCUGGUUGACUUGAGGCUGUGUUGUCUGUGGACUUGAUAAAACACAGUAGAUCAACACCAGCAAAAGGAAUAGCACCCCAAACCAUCAUAGACUGUGGAAACUUCACAAAUUGGCUCCUUAGUCUAGCUAAGACUCUUCUGACGUCUCUAGAGUGUCCAGUGUUGCCUAACUAGAAACCUUGCCGCUAGAUUUAGCGACUUUUCAGACACACCUGGUGACUUAUUUUCAAAAAAGCGCCAAGCGACAAAUCUAGUGACUUUUUCUGGAGUUUAGAGACUCUAACAUGAACACAGGUAUCGUUGUUACUCUUCUCAAUGGGUAGCCGGUGUGCAUCAAAAACACAGACGCAGACACCCAUCUAGCGACUUCUAGCAACUUUUACGACAGCCACUAGUGAAUUUCUUUACUAAGGAGUUGGCAACACUGGGAGUGUCUUGAUAUCAGUUACAGUCUAUUUCCUACAGAUGUCUCUGGGUGGUGGCCCUCCAUGCUCUUACUCCAGCCUAAGUUCAGUUUUACCAAACUUAUAUAUGGUGAAUUACUGAUGCACUUUUUCUCAAUACAGUGCAUCCCUAAAGUAUUCACAGCACGUUACUGUUAUCAUGUUUUCUUGUGUUACAGUCUUAUUCCAAAAUUUAUUAAAUUCAUACCUCUAAAUUCAACACACAAUACCUUAUAAAGAGAAAAACAUUUAUUUGAAUCUUUUGAAAAUGCAUUAAAAAUAAAAAUCUAAAAUAUAUCAUGAACAUGAGUAUUUACAGUGUGUCAUGGCAAGAGUACAUAUUGUCAGGAUGCACUGUAUUUUCCAGCAGUAUUUGUGAUGCACCAGCAGAUUGUACGUGAUUUCUAACUGAGACCAAAGUUGGGAACAAAAUCAUCAUGGACCGUACAAAUAUUACAAGAAUAUCAGAGUUUAUUCAGGUAUGGUGUAUCAGAGGAGACAGACUAACUCCCAGUGCCUUCAGUGGAAAAUAAGUGUUUAAGUCUCCUUAUUUACCCAGAUGUAAUGUGAGGCCAGUUUCAGUAAAUUUAUGAAAUAAAGACCUGUUUUCAUCCAGCCCUCCAUGGGUUAGUGUCCUUGUUUGAUAUUGCUGUUUUUUCUUUCAUAAAUGGGAUUGUCCUUCAUCACUUCAACACUAUAGAGACAUGUGAGUUGGAGUUAAUUUGGUAUUACUCUCAAGCAGAAACAGACCAAUACACUUCACAUUACAUGCGUGGAAGCAGCCAAGCAUCAAGUCGUGCGCCAUGGGUGAUGCAUUUUAGGUGUGAUAAUGAAUGACUGAGAGAAAGCGUAACACGUAGAGGACAGGUGAAGGAAUGAGCUGUUGGUUAAAAGUCCAGGUAUGCAGAAAGAAGUCCAGCUAUACCACAUCUUAGAAAUGGCAAUACCAUAUACUGGAGUGUCCUGGCUUAUCUGAAGUACUGCUAUUGCCUUUGUGCCAUUAAUUGAAGCAUGUGCUAUGUCUCACUGUAAGGCCGUAUAUACAUUUAAAUUUCUGCCAGUUUGUAAGUGUGUGUGUGCGUGUUUGCGCAAGCUUAGCAGCAGGUAUGCCCUGACAUUCUCCUCCUGUGCUCGUCAUGAAUAAACAUCUGUUCUGACUGCAGACUUAACAGCUUGUAAUAUGUAAUACACCCUAUCUGUAGCUGGGUGUGUAUGAGUGCAUAAUUUCUGUGUGUGUGUGUGUGUGGGGGGAGGGGGGGGGGUAUCGCUUCAUAUCAGAGUUGCCUCUCAGCCGUUCGUGUCUGUGCAUAAAAAGGAGGCUGUUGGAUGAGCCUGCGGAACCGUCACUCUCUGUCUCCUCAAACGCUGAAUCUUCAUUCUGUCCUUAAAUGUCUCUCGGCUUCUUUAUUGUUUUUCUCUCUUGGUUCCUCCCCUACUCUACCUCUCUCUUUCCCUAUCCCUCUCUUCCUAAAACCCCUGAGCCACUCCUCUGUUUGCUGAGCAAAGGCAGGAUGGCAGAUUUCCUCUCUGACUCUUUAUUCUCCUCCUCCUGUAAUCGUUUCCUCUCUCCGUCACUCUCUCACCUGUUUGCACAGUAAAGAUGAGGAUUUCCUCUCUCGACUCACAGACUCUAAUCCCCCUUCCUUGAUUUGUAGGCCUAGUCUUUGUGCCAUGCUUCCCAUUGUAGUAUUUCUACUAAAAGUCCUUUCAUAUUUCAAUUUCUUGUCUUUGUAGUAUUGCUGUCAUUACAAGAAGCUGCACACAGACAAUAAAGUCGGUUAAAAAAACAACUAAGAGAUGCAGCAACAAGGGGCUGUCCUCCUAAAACCUGUUUACAAAUGUCUAUAUUCUUUAAACUGUGAGGGUUCCUGGUGAAGAAGACACUUAAUCACAAAGCAUCAUAUCUGUUGAAGAGCUCCUGAGGUAAAGAGCUUCGUGGUGUACUGAAAAUGACUUUUCCAGAGACUUUGGGGUUUUCAAACAAAUAUUAAAAUGAAGGAAAGUGAAAGCGAUCAGAGAAAUGCCCUCUAAACUCUGAGUGAUGAAGAGUGAAAUAAAGCCUACAGACUGGACUGUGCAGGGACCCCGUUUGUGCUUGAUCUUACUGGAGCUGCACCAGUGCAGCCACCCUCCUCAGGUCCCUGUCACAGUGAUCAUCUCAGUGUGUGAUGACACAGUACAAGCUGGAGACAAAAUGAGGCAAGACAGGAGGGACAAACUGUAACCCACCAAAGGGUUGUGGGUAACAAAGAGUCUUCAAAUGUGGUCUUGUUGUUUCAUUGGGUGCCUGGGGGAGAAGGAGAACUAUUCAUGCCCUCCAACUGAAAUUCAAUCACCUGCCACUGCCUGUUUAAACUGUAUACCCCUCAUUCAGGUGCAACAAUUAGAAAUGGAAAUUAAAGUAUGUCAAAGAAAAACCCAAAGUUAUAAAACAUACUGAAAAAAAAAAAAAAAAGAAUAAAUAAAUAAAUAAAUAAACAUUUGUAGUUUGUAUGUCAUGAAAAAAUUAUUUGUUCUGGUUAAUUUGUCCAUGUUUUUCAUCCUUGGUGUUUUACGUCUGUUACAUCUAUGUUUAUUUGAAGGUUUUUAUUUGUUAUUUUGUUAUUUUUUUAUUCUUUUAAAUAUGCUAACUACAGAGAAACUCACAUAAAGUUCUCAACAGUUCCCCAGCACCUGAGCUACAAAGUCUGGCCUUAAAUUUGCCCCUCUGUUCAUCCAAAUGAUGAUGUGACACUGAAAGCAGGCUGCCGAACAUUGAUAGAUGUAUAACCUGUUAUUUCCUUUGUGUGUGUGUGUGUGUGUGUGUGUGUGUGUGUGUGUGUGUGUGUGUGUGUGUGUGUGUGUGUGUGUGUGUGUGUGUGUGUGUGUGACUUUGCACAUAUAGCUGUAAUGUGGCUGACCAAGCCAGGGUCAAGAAUGUGGACUCACAGGGAGUGUGUUAGUGUGUGUGAUUGAGAGGUGAAUGGCUGCUCUGCAGGGCACCAUUAUGCUCCACUGCAUGUGUGUGCGAAGAGUCACUAACCCCUCAAUGGAACUGCAGCAUAGGCCAAAUGUGUGUGUGUGUGUGUGUGUGUGUGUGUGUGUGUGUGUGUGUGUGUGUGUGUGUGUGUGUGUUUGUGUGAGUGUUUAUGCAUUUAGGAGUGUACAUGCCUGUUGUACCAUCUUUGAGAGCAAGCACAUUGCAAAGAGUGAAAAGACCUUAGCAGACCUGCUGACCUCCAUUUAGUCUUUAUUCUAGUGCUGCUAUGUUACAGUUAUUUAUGUGCCUCUUCAGGUCAUGUUGGAGUUGAUUUUACCAUCUCUGCACAAAGCUUCACUGUGCCUAAUGCUCAAACAAGAAAAUAAAAAGCAAACUCAUUCUCUUUCUAAGCCUCUUUGAACGAGAGAACCACGGAGAGUUUGGAUUCACAAUGCGUUGAAAGCCCCUUUGCAUCACUGUUUGACUUCCGAUUAUUAUCAACAUGAGUGAUGAGAAAUUAAGAACAUUUUUUUUUUUUUAAAUGAGCCUGAGACACGAAAUUGGAAAGGCAGCUUAAUGAUAAAUGAGCACUGUUGAAUUUCGCAUCCUUUUUCAUCUUCUGAGGUUACAGAAGUUAUAAAACGAGGUAUACAGGAUCACAUGUGCACGAAACUCUUAAUUUUAAAAAAUAUUUGUAGGUGAGCUGCAUGAGUUAAUGUCGCAUUUGUAACCCCUAUUUACCUGAUAUUUUUCCCUCCAGAAGCAUUGUUAAAUUGGAUAGAUGAUAAUAAUUACGUGCAAACCUGGAAGAGCGACACGCAACAGGGUGAACAAAAACAUAUGAGGAUUGAGAAUUAUAUCAGAGAUCAGUGAGCAUUUGUCUUUGUGUGUGCAUCACUGAAACUCAAUGAAAUUCCCAAGAUUGAAAGUGUCAGCGGCACUUUUCAUGGUUGUGGGGGACCUCUGGAUGAAAAGCAGAACAUCAGGGUGUAGAAAAUGUGCGCAAACUUUCAUUAUACAUUUGCAUGCUCAACCUAAAAAAGCAUGCAGUGUAGCUCAACCUGGAGAGCAGGUUGGAUAACAACCCUCUUGUUUUCAAGUCUUUUUUACCCUCAAGAUUAAUCAAUAUAUCUGAGGGAGCUGCAGAAAAUCAAGGCUUAUUCCUCAGCUGUUACAUAAAAAUUCUUCCUGAUGUAGAAGUUUCUUUAAGGCUGAUUGUGGACUUUUGAAACUGUUUGAGCUGAAAAAAGAACCUGUUAUUGACAGCUUUAAUGACUCAGACCAAGAUGGAGUAAAUUGACUAAGCAUCUGUCAUUAAUUAUUUCAUGAAGAUGUAGUGACUGACACUAUGAGAUGUCACUGUCAUUCACUGAAACUCCUGCUCGCAGUCUUCCUUUCUUCUAUCUAAGUAAUGAUUCAAAUCACAUGAAAUGAUGCUUUUCUGUAGACCACUAAAGUUUCAAAAGUGUUGAACACAUAGACCAUAUAUGGAAUGGACGCCGUCUGCCUCCUUGCUGGGUAAAGCUAUCGCAAGAACAGCACCCAUUAGUGACAGGCUGCAGUAUAGGUCAUAAAUCCUGCCUCCUCCAGCAAUCCUUAUGGAGCUGUGAUCAAACUUUAAAAAUUAAUUACAUUAAUUACUUUACAUUAAAUACAUUUUUCUCCCCCAUAGCUGCGAUGUUGACAUAGAGUUACUGUAAGACUGGUUUAUGCUCAAGUCCUCUUUUUUCUUUACAGCUCAUUUUGAAAAGUUAUUAGGGGGUUCAUGUUUUUAUGAUGGACACUUAAGCCUAUGGGCGUACGAAGAUUGUGUAGCUCACCCGGAGAAUACGCUGUUUGAGCCGAGCGUCAUCACAGUGACUCUCCUGCCAAAUGCAUAUAAUGCUACUGUACAAGUGGUGGUUCCAGGAAGUGGAAAAAAUCCCAGAAAUACUGAGAGCAAUUCGGCUUCAAAUUCAUAUAAUGAUGGAAAGCCGAGCCAAGUUGUCCCAGUCUAUGGUUAAACACCUUUGGCCAGCUGCUUUACAUUGAGACAUGUUUUAAACUCCAAACACCACCCUGAUCGCUAACUGUUAUAUGUAAAGCACAUUGUUUAUCUCUGCCUGACAGAAAAUAAAACAAGACUAGUGUUUAAAGUACGCGUUUACAAAUGGAUUCCUUAAGUAGUUUCUGACAUCCCUAAUUUUCAUAAACACGUACAAAAACUCUUUGGUCUUCAGUAGAGCUUGUUAAUUAAACCCAUUUCCAUUUUAGCCCCUAAGAGCAUAGACAUAUAAUAAUCCAGUGUGCAACCUCCUGUGUUACCCCUGUUACAUCCUGUAUGUUCUCAAUUUCACCUCACAGGAGGAGAGAGGAGAGCAGGGAGAGGAGCAGAAGGAGGAGAAAGCAGAGCAGCGAGAGAAGCAGAAGGAGGAGAAAGCAGGGCAUGAAGAGAAGCAGAAGGAGGAGAAAGCAGAGCAGGGAGAGGAGCAGAAAGAGGACAGAGGAGAGCAAAGAGAGGAGCAGAAGGAGGAGGAAGCAGAGCAGGGAGAGGAGCAGGAGGAGGAGAGAGCAGGGGGAGCCAGAUAGAGAAAGGAGAGCGAGGAGAGGAGCAGGAGAAGAAAGUUGUGUGUAUUUUUGCCAAGGGACAGAAUGAUCUUGAGCAGAGAGAAGCUGCAGGGAUCACAUAAAAGAGCUCAAAUCUUCUGUUUUUGUGACAGUGUAAAAAUACUUCCGAUAAGAUCUGACAUUUAAUUUAGUUAGUAUCAAUCACCUUUGUUAAGGCAGAGCUCUUAAAGUGCAGAAGUGAUGCACAGUCCCUUUCAGCAGUAGAACAUAUGAUCCAGUCAGAUGGACAUGCUUUAGUGGACAAAAAAGUAGGCUAAAUCUUGUUUUAAAUUGCAUAAACGCGUGUGAUAGAGAUAUCAAAUCAUUAGUAAUUAUUUCUAUAAUUGUAAUAUCACUAUUAAUCAAAACAGUCUUGAGCACCAAAAUGGAAAGAAGUGUGUGCUAAAUAACUUUGGCUAUGAUUUUAAUCAAAAGUAUAUAGUGUACAGCUUUCCCAUCAAGCUUUACUUAUAGAUGACUAGACUUGCAUCACAGUGGCAUUAUUAAUCAUUCGUAUCUCACUGAAGGUUAAAUGGGAUAUUGCUCCUCAGCAGAGCCACAGGUAAGAAAAUAAAGGUCCUGCCCUGCACAUGACAGGUCUCUCUUUGUCAGUCACUGAGAUUGUGAUAGUGGGCUCUAUUUUAGUGUCCGCCAGUGAGGCGGUGGAGGGCGCGCAGUGGUAUUUUCGUCUGGCGGAGCCCGGCAUACAGUCAGUUUGGUAUUUUUGUGGACUGAGGCAUACCGAGGUCCGCCAAGCUGGGCGUGGUGGCGUGGCAGGGGGAGGUGUCGACAGAAUAGGCUGGCGGAGUGACAUUUUCAUGCUUGCUGGUGGCGUAUAAAGUGCGCUGAAAGCUCGCCGAUUCAAACCUGGUCAGCUUUCAGUGCAGGCGGAGCGCAGCUGGUCUAGUGGUAUUUUGGUAGACCGGCGGCGUAUCGGCAUACGUCACUGAUGCCUCACCGGCAGGUUUCCACAAUGUCAGGCACAUUUCAGUGCAAUAAAUAAUCAAAAACAACUAUUAAUCUGACUCAGCACAUACAUUUAGAUCUAUAUCUGAGCUGAUGAGCGUGUUUGGACACACAACCUGACCAAAUCAACAUAGCUGAAACCGCAUUAAAUCAAAUUAAAUUAAAUAUCUAGUAAAUAGACACACGAUAAAGUUAACAAGAUAUGUAAUUUGUCUCCCUCCUUUUCUUUCUUCCUCUUCCUCUUAUUUCUCGCGACCUGGACAUGUCUCCGUGUCCUCUCUCCGUCCUGCUGCAGCGGCUGAACAGAUGAUUUGUUUCAGUGAUCAGAUGAGUUAUUUACUUUAAGCCUACAUACGAAUAUUAUAAUAUUACGUUUUGUGAGCCAAAUUUAUUUUAUAUGCCUACAUCUAUGAAAGAAAGAGCCAGGCCACGGUGAUGCAUCGUUACGCACAGAUGGUUCCAAUUUUAAUGCCAUUUUUGGAAUUUAUGUUGUGAUCUGUGCGCACAACCCACCUUUGUCACGUGAUGGUUGAAUAUAUGCAACUUUAUGUGAGUGUCUUUAUUUGUGGAAAAGGGUGUUUGUCUUACUAGUGGGUCCAACCUUACAUACACCAAAUCCAUCUGUGCUCACAUGAGAGAGUGUGAAGGACACCAUCUGCAGCGUUUACAGCGACACUUGUUGAGGGGCUGCCUUCUGUCGCCAUCUUGUGGCAUUACUGUCUUCAGACAUCUGUUGAUCUCUUUGACUACUUCACGAAAAUAGUAACACAACUCGCCAGUGGCGGAUUUAAAGGCGAGGAGAGGAGCUGAUGUAAUUGGUGAAAACAGGUCUCGGCUGUGUUAAACCCACUCCACGCCCUCUUUCCUCCCUUGCUACGACUUACGCGACUGGGAGGAGCUGAGUUGGGGGGGGUACUUAUGCCGGGCUGCGCCGCUCACGAAAAUACCAAAUUGUGCUUGGGAACGCCUUUGCGGCACAUCUCCGGCGAGGCACGAAAAUAGAGCCCUGUGUCUUUUCUGAGUGGUAAGGAGUCGGCAGCAUGUGGAGACAGGAAAUGGGUUUUUGGUGUGCUGGGGCCGGGUUCAUGAACUGUGAAUGACCAAGGCCAGCAAAGUAAGUUCUGAAGUAGAGGAAGAAAGCAUGGCUAAAAUAACACUGAGUCAUUGGUGGAAGCAGUAUGAAGGUUUCUUUGGUUUUUCUACAGUAGUACAAUAUCUGUCAGCCAUCACGACAGCAUACCUCACCACGGCAUUCACAAUACCUUGAAGGACAUCCUUCUGCUAGUUAAAAUUUCAGGCUUGGUGUUUUUUCUGUGUUUCAGAAGAACUCCCACAUAGUUUCCACACCGUCCGUCUCUUUGAUAAAAGUGAAAUGGGUGACAUUUACAUCUUCAGCUCUGAAUAUACCAUUAUAGUCAGAUUUGGGCUUUAAAAAUUGGUCUGACCUCAGAGUCAGGGUCUUCUGCAGACAAAUCUCCAGCGGUGUGUUUUCUUUUCUGCGCUUUUCUUUGGCUUCCUGUUUCCUUGUGCAUGCUGUCUCAUCCCUCUACCUCCUCUGCAUUUCUCACCCUGAUUUCUUUGGGGCCAUUGAACUAACACAGUUCAAAAGUGAAUGGGAAAAGAGCACACGAGGACGGCCCCAGUGUGAUGCUUCAAGGCUCUACAUGUCAGAGGUAUAAUGAGACUUGCAAAUCAGCAGGGGUUGAUGAAUGUUAGUGAGUGAAACAAAGUAAACACCCACACCAGACAUGUCUGCAGUCCAGAGGAGACACAGGAGGGCUCAAUGUGCAUUUUUGUUGCCGACUAAAGGUCCUCCUACUUCACCUAAUUGGCUCGUUUUCCUUCGUUUCUCACUCUCCAGCUUGACCUGAUGUUUGGUUUAUUAGCUCCAAAAAUAAAACAUUUCAUGAAAAGAAAAAGUGUUUUGUGCAGUAAACGCCUUUAAGCCUCUCUGUAAAUCUGAGCAAACUUUCUGAAAAAAGAAAGAAUUCAAAGAAACCGUUGUCACUCUUUGUUGUCUGCAGGGCUGCUUCUGGGUUUUAAAAAAUAAAAAAAGCAAAUGUCAUUGCUGUGACACAAACAGAAAAACCCAAAUGACUCCCUUGUUGAGGCACACGUAAACUCUUUAUGCACAGCAGGAAGUUAUAGGUUUCAGAGCAGGACAAACCUCUUCAAUUUCAACAAAGCCCUAAAAACUGAAUGCACCACCAGAUUCAGGAAGUCCACACUGAACAAAAAUGGAAAAUCUUGUAUAUGUCAUUAUUUCAUCUUCAAAACCAGCUCUAAGAAUCUUCAGACCAAAGCUGUGCACAUUUUAUGGUGAGAAGAAAAUAAGCAAACCCUUUAAGAUUAUGUAAGAAUCAGUUAAUAAUGUAAAAAGACUAAGCUUAAAUUUAUGCCUUAGAUGCCAAGUUAAUACAAUAUUAAAAUAAGGAGCACAGACCUGAUGGGCAACAUGAAACGAAAAGAGAGGAAAUAUUAAAACAACAACAACAACAACAACAAUAAUAAUAAUAAUAAUAAUAAUGAUGAUGAUAAAACAACUAAGAAAAACUCUGAUUUUUAGAUUACUACAGAGAAAUCUGAUACAGUUAGUUCUAACAUCAGUUUUGAUGUAACUUUUAAACUGGUCAGUCUUCUAAACAGAAUUUCCUCGAAACACACUUUAUUAUUAAAUCCUGCAAUUUCAACUGAAGUCAGUCUGUAGGAUAAUCAUCUAUAAUACUACUACUUAUAAAAAAUAACAGUGACUUUAUAGUAGUGGUUCUUCACACUGGUUGUCACUUUAUAAACAGAGGAAAGCAAAUGAGUUAGCGUUAGCAUGCCUCUGAAAAAUGAUCAGAUGCUUAAAAAACGGAUAUUUAAAGACUUUCUGCGAAUCAAAAAAAAAAAAAAAAUUUAGAGUUUUUGCCUCUUCAGGUUGCUAACCCAUUAAACACUUGCGCUUUCUUACCAUUUGUUUAACUGUUUUCAUUCCACUCAAUAAUUAAUAAUCUGCUUAAAAGAGUGCAAUUCAGAAUAAAGCCAUGGCUUUACAGUACAGGAAAUAAAGCAACCUAUACACAAGAAAAGAUAUUCAAAUAAAGCAUGACACACCACUGUCUAAUGAAGUGAACAUUUGAACAUCAUUAGAAAUGGAUGAUGACACUUAAGUUCAUCUGUGUUUUCCUUUCAGUGACUGGCCGCUUUAAAUGCAAUGAAUGAAAGGAGGAGAGGUGAUUAUAGUUGCCACAAAAGAAUUGAUAUUGAUGAUCUAACCUUGAUGAAUUGAGGAUCAGACUUAUCAUACAUCACUAGUGCUUCUUGUCCUUGAAGGCUUCAUCACUUCCCUCCAUUGGCAAUGCUGCUGCAUGUUAUUCCUCCAUUGUUCCCAGAUGUGCUAGCCAGUGUUUGCUUGCACUCAUGUGAGUACAAAGCAUCUGUAGAAAACUGCAGCAAUGGUUAAGUGUCAUGUCUGAAAAUAGCCUGCCCAAAGUUAUCGAUGUGUAGAAAUAUUAAGGGAAGUCAAAGAGGAGGCUCCCUUGUUCACCCCUUUUGUUGUUGUAGCGAUGAUAACCUUAGAGAACAUGGGGCUCCUGUAAUGCAUCACAAGUUUGAUCCCCCAAUUUAUUUUACCGUUAAGAUGCAAAAGAAUUUCAUUUAAUCCAUGCAAAUUCUUUUGCACACAACAACCACACUUAACAGAUCUCAUUUAAGAUGUGAGUUUGAUCAUAUUUAAGAAAAUCACAGGUUUGUUGCAAUUUAAAUUAUUAAAAGUUUGCAUCCUCCUCUGUGCUGUUCCUGUUUUGUCUGAAAUAGCAAAAUGUGUAACACACUGAUUUUAGUUUGGUGGAAUGAUGUCUUUUCGGUGGCAGAUAUGUGGCCUUGAGCUGAAAACACCUUUUCAUAAUCAGAGAACAGACUGUACACGAUUAGCCAAGCACAUAGCCUUGAAAUCCGGCAUUUUGGCAGUGUGUUAGUGUGUGGUAAUGCGUGUGUGUGUGUAUGUGUGUGUGUGUGUGUGUGUGAGUCAGUGUGUGUGUGUGUGUGUGUGUGUGUGUGUGUGUAGCAUGCGUUCAGUUGAUCCAAUAGCCUGCACAAUAGCAUGGCUUCAGGCCUUGGACAACGAGAGUGAUAUGGCUCUUUGGUGAACACACACACAUACUCCACUCGCAUGCGCACGCACGCACGCACGCACGCACACACACACACACACACACACACACCAACAAACACACUAAAACGGAUACCUUAAACAGCAUGACCGUACCUUCUUUCUUUACUGUGGUGAGAGGAGAAAAGAGUGUAUGUUGGUAUGUGUGUGUGUGUGUGUGUGUGUGUGUGUGUGUGUGUGUGUGUGUGUGUGUGUGUGUGUGUGUGAAUUAAAGUCAUGGGUUUCAAGCGAAGCUGAUUGGUUAGCAUGGUUGCCACCUUCACAGUGACAGUGUGACUAAACAAUUAGCGAAGGGACACAUCUGUCCAGCAGAAGUUGAAGUUCAAUAUACUAACACUGAAGUUUGAAAUGACAUCUAAUGAUACAUUAAAGAGCAGAGGAGCUGUUGAAGUCAGAGAACGGAUGACUUUAAUGAAACUCAAGUGCUAAAUGUUAAAAAAGGUGAAAUGACUCCACUCGUUACAGUCAGAUUAGAUCUUUAAAUUACCUGACCUAGUUUACAAAUAUACUGCCAAGUUUCUUUAAACAUUUUCAAGUGAAGUCAAUGUCUAACACUUGCCUGAAACCUUUGGAGCAGUUUUCACCCUUGUUCCUGCAUGAAUGGAUGCUGUGUCCUCCUAAGCUUGUGACGGUUUUGAAUUCAGACGUGAGUAUCUGACAUGUUUUCUUUAGUGAGCUGCUUGAAAGAAAUCUCAAAUUAGAUUUUUACAGAACAGUAUUCUAGCUUGCACAAGUUUUAGCUCCCAGUUAUUUGAUGCUGAUUCCGUGGCAUUAACAAGGAAUCACUUGAUGUCAGUAUUUUAGAAAAACUGCACUGAAUAUACUUUUUUCCCCAUGCACUGUGGGAUAUUUCUUUGUAACCAACAGUUAUUCUAUGGAGAAAUCAACACUGUGUGUGACAGAUUAAGCACUUUGCAGGUGAAUACAUAUACUUGUUUUUAAAGCAUUUUCCACUGACAGGAAUCACAAAGUGCUUAACAAAAAAAAAAAAAAAAGGGGGGGGGGGGGGGGCAAAAAGUAAAGAACUGAAGUGUCUCAUGUAAGUCACAGUUUCAGACCAUAACGGUGCAACAUUUUAUUUAAAUAAAAAAGCUAAAAGUCAAGUCCACAGAGCACUUUUCAUUGCAUUCAUUCAAUUUAAGCUCAAAACAAUGAUAGCAAAAGUUUUACAUUGUUGGAUGCAAUCAUGUAAUUUUAAUCAUGCUAUUAAAAAUAUGAUAAAUUGAAAAUCUGCAAUUGCUUGAAGUUAAAAGCAUUUCCUGUUUUACAACCAUUAAAAAACUGCAACAUUUUAUAUAUAAAUAUAAAUAUAUAUAUUUAUUUAUUUAUUCAUUUUUUCAGAAAUUUGUUAAAAAAAAGAGACUUGGUUGCACAAAAGUUUGGAAAACAAAUAAAAUCCAAAUUUGGCUGAGCUUCUGUGAGUACUUUGGAUUAAUACAUGGCAGUGUAAAUAUUCCAGGAAGUGGUGUGUCUUUGGAGCAAUGUUUAUCUAUCAAACCUGCUGUCACAGAAAACUUGAAACAAACAGUCACUUUUUAAAAACCACAAUUGGUACUGAUGAUCAUUUUUGUUUACUUAAAUCACGGAUGCAAUUUUCUUUAAUGCUUUUGGCAUGAGAGACACAUUAUCAUUAUUUGGCAUAAUUUUGCAAGUACAGUAAAAAUAAAGUAUGUUGAGCAGUGGCCAAUACUUGGGUAGAAGUAGAGAUUAAUCUUUGGUUACAGGAAUUUAAGAUGUUGUUCAUUCAGGACAGCAUUUCUUCUAAUGCAUUAAAAAAGUUGAAAAACACUGAUUUAUUUGAUUGAAAUUCAGAAUUAUAUUAAAUUUAUAAAAUAUAGCAGCAAUAUAUCAGAUGAGAUUGAAAGAGCGUAAAACAACAUAACUACAAGCAAAAAUAACAGCAAUCAUGUGGUGUCCUGUCUCCAAUGCUCCUCAUGCAAAAAGGUCACUUAUUGUUGUGUUAAAGCUUAAUCAUCUCUGCUUAUAUUCAACUGAAUGAAGUUUUAAGCUCAGAGGGGACAGAGCGUUUGCUGCUGCUGCCCCUAAGCUCUGGAAUGAGUUGCCCUUGAAAAUUAGACAGGCCUCCUCAUUUCCUGUUUUUAAAUCCCUUUUAAAAACGCACUUUUACUCAUUGGCUUUUAGUACAUUGUAGUGUUAAUUUGUUUUUUAUCAUCUUAGCACUUGCUGUGAGCCUCCUUAUUUAUACACUUAUUUAUUAUUUUCCAUUAAUGUAUUUCUGCUUGCUUUAUCUUGUUCUUUGAUUGUUUUAUUUGUUUUUAUGUGUCAUUGUACAGCACUUUGGCUACCCUUGUGGUUCUUUUAAAUGUGCUAUAGAAAUAAAGUUGAUUGAUUGAUUGAUUGAUUGAUUAAGGCCAUAUUCAGUGAGCCCCAAAAACUCGAGCAAACAAUCACUAACUGAAAACUUUUCAGCCUCAUAACAGCCUGUGAGGCAUUUCAGCAGCCUGAAAAGCUCUGAAACACUUUCAAACUGCCGCCUGUGUUACAUCCUUUGUUUUUGUGUGACUUCGGUGCUGUGCACCUCUCCAAACUUGUCCCAAGGUCUCUGAAUAGAACUAAUCAUGAUGCAAAACUAACUUUUUCCUCGUGUUGCAGCACGGUUUAAUGGAGCGUACAAGCCUAAAAAUACUGGACUGCAACCAGGUCGGCAUGUGUUGGCAUUGCAGGGAAGAUGGACUCCAGUCGUGAAAAGGAAUGGAGGAGCUGUCUUUGUAACGUCUGGGACCCUGAGCCAAGCCAUUUGACAGUCGCAGUGUUUAAAAAAUGGCAUGUGGGGUGGGUGUCUAAAAUGCCCCCCACAGCGGGGAUCCUUUGAAACAAUUACUAUAAAUGUACGGCAGGAGCACUUUCCUCUCCAUACGACAUUUUUAUAACUUCGCCAAUGAAGUUUGAAUCGAGCCAACUAAUUUGUCUGGCAAAUUAGCUUUAGCAUGUCUCGCAGCAUGAUUCAACGCUUACAACAAUUGGAGUCCAAUUGUUUUUUUGCAUUUGUGCGUCUGGCGUCAUGAUAGAUAGCUCGCCUGAAAAUGGGGAAGCACCACUUUAGCUAUCAAAUUAAAUGGUUUUUAAUCAGUUGGUGUUUUUAAUGGCGGCUUGAUGCGGGUUCAGUUGUGCUCAACAUCGACAAUAGAGGCAAACAAAUGCGACAGCUUUCUAAUUGAAAGUGCUGUGAUACCUCAGUUAAAUAGUGGUGUUAUGAUUGUGUUAUUUUGGUUUGUUCACACGCUUAGUUUGAUAAUCAUGUUUUUUGUUUCUAGAGGGACUUUGGAAUUGGUUUGUGAUCAUCUUAAUGGGCAUAUUUUUGUGAGAGCGUAUCGGUGUAUGUGUGGAGGAGACAAUUGUGUGUGCCAAAGUGAACAAAACAAAAAGAAAGAUACACAGAGCUCGCAGAGUUUGCAAAAAGUCAGACAAAAAAUAACUUGGACCAACUUCAUGUGAGAUACAUAGUAUUUAAGCUAGUGGAGUGGCGUGGUUGUACUUGUUUGGCAUUGUUCGAAUUAACAUGCAAUUCAAAACACAAAACUGGUGCAUGGACUUCUUUAUUUCUUUUUUUUUCUUCUUCUACAGAAACCAUCAUACAAGAAACAAAUGGACAAGUUAAUCCAUACAUGAAUACUCCGAGGAACAUUCUUUGGCUUGUAAGAGCCAACAUAAAAGCAUGCACACAAAGGAAUCAGGUGCAAAAAGCCCAUAACAUAAGCUCCACACUGCUACCUCUGAAACACACCUCCAUCAGAUAUCAGAAUCCACACCAUGAUCUGAAUAUGAAGAGCUCAGAGUCAGUCCUGGAGGACUUCUUGGAUGUGUAAUGAAGUGAAAUAUGAUUAUUAUUACAGGCUCUCUGUCUGUCUCUCCUCUCUCCGGCUCCCCACUCAAACCGAGCUGCAAGCUGAGGAGACAAAUUCAUUCUUUCUGGGUCAGAAAUGAGAGAAAUGGUUGAUUGUGUAAAUAAUGGAUCAUGUCCUCGUCUCCCAGCUGUCUGAAUGGAUUUAGAUUAACUUCCAACUGAUGGUAAUGUGAUGAGUGUAAGAAGCAGGCAGCUGACAAAUUAGCACACACACACACACACACACACACACACACACACACACACACACACACACACACACACACACACACACACACACACACACAUGCAUGCAUACUGAUAGGAAGGCUCGGGUACACCUCGUAUGAAUGUGCACAUAUAUUUAGAUAUCAAUCUUUUCAACAUAUUCAGUUGUUUUUUAACUUGCAGCAGCUGUAAGCUAGGGAGGAACACAUCCAUCCUCUUUCACUUAUAAUGACAACAAAAACAGAGAGAGGGGUGUUGUAACUGUGAAAUAAAUAGGUUUUUGUGGAAAUCUGUUUCCACAUGCUGCAAAGAAACUGCUCAGAUUUCCUCCGUUUGUCUGGGUUGUUGCUGCUCUCUUAAUGGCAAAAAUCAGUUGUCUGUUUUAAUUGUUAAAUUUAUCCUUUUGAUAAGAGAAAUGAAAAUCAAACCUGUUUUUACUGUAUUUUUACAUUUUCUCUUUGUGAAAAUAUGUAUUCCUCAUAAAUGGUCACAUCAGUUAUUUCAAUUAUCUAACAGUGAAGAAAAAUGUCAUAAAAACAGUCUGUAAACAACUUUGAAAGCAAAAAUCACCACAAUCAAACAGAUGUGAGGUGAAAUCAUUUUUUUUUAUUUCCCUUAAAGUAAAUUUCAAAUAAAGACUAAAAGAAAAAGAUUAGAGAGGAUCAUUUUUAUCGCUUCGCGAGUUUAAUUUUAACAUGAUUAUUGUUAUAAUAAAAUUAAGAUACUAGGGCUAUAAAUAAACCUUAAAACAGCACAUAACUGAUUUUAUUCCAUUUAAAUAAAUAAUCUCUACAGAAACAUUUUAUGUUCUUUGAAGUGCAUGUGAAACCACAGGGCAGGUGGACUAAGUAUGGGUUAUCUGCACUACUGUUACAUUUAAAAUAAAUCAAGAGCAGCUAAAUAGGUUCAUAAAUUCCCCUCACAGCUCGUUCAGGCUUUUGAUAUGAACAUUUUUAAUACGAGUAACCACAGCUCAUCAAGUUGAUUGCAGAGCAAACAUUUGAAUGAUAAUAAAUAAAGAGAUUUUUAUACUUACUCACACAGACACACACAGACACUCCUCAGCUGCAGGCCAGAACACAACAAUACAAUUUUAUUGUCAUUGCACUGAUGGGCAAGAACAACAAUACGCGACUACGAUGGUAUUCUGGGAACAUUCCAGCUCUGAGUCAGAUGUUUUUAUGUUUUUAUUUUUAUUUCAGACAUUUUAAAUGGGACACAUUUUUAGGGGUUAAGAGAAAUAUAAAACAGCAGAUUGGAAAGGAGAGAAUCUGUAUGGCUCCGACUGUGGUUCAUAAAAAUGUGGAAUUUGAAAACAGUAUUUAAUGAGUUUUCUCCAGUGAAUCAUGUCCCUCAUUACGCUUGUAUUCUUUUGAUUUUAGUCCUUCAUAGUCUCUAAUAUUUUAUCUCUCUUUCAGUUUUUGUUUUAAAAAAGAAAAUCCAUUUUUUUUAAUAUUUGAGAUUUCUCACCGUCAGACUUUUGAAGUCUCGUGGAGUUUACGUUUGUGUGUAAAAAGUAAUUUCAAGAAACUACGUUUAGUAAGAUUUUUUUUUUUUUUUUAAUGUUCAGGAUCUCAAGCCAAAUGAUGAUUACUUACACAGUUUGAAAUUAUUCUUAUGAGUUCUUAAAUCGAGUAUAAAGUGAUUGAAUUUCCUGGCCUGAUUGAGUGCAAGGGAGAGAGUUUUCUUGUAUUUUUUUUUUCUUUUCCAGCAGAACUCUUAAAUAUUCAUCUAUCACUCUUAAAUAUCCAUCUGUCACUUUGUGACUGGCACUACUGUGCAGAGCGUUAUAAUUGGAAAGUAGCAGGUGAACAUGAUACCACAUUUUUGAGUCAUAAAGAAAGAUCCAGUACCAUGGAAAUCAUUUUUAAACGAAGGUCACUCCACAUCUGCUUGUCAGGCACCUAGUGCAGAUUGUAUCAGCAAAGGGGAAAAGUGUAAGCUUACAUUAGUGUGCAGAUGUUUAGCUUGCUGUAGUAGAUAGGACACCAUCAAACAACCAUGAAGACGGGGACUCUAAGCUCCUUGGUGUUUGGUUAUGAACUGAAAGAAGACAUAUUCAUCAGUUAGUUUUUCUUUGUUCCACAGCCUUUAGUUGACUCUCUUCCAAGUGUGUGUGUGUGUGUGUGUGUGUGUGUGUGUGUGUGUGUGUGUGUGUGUGUGUGUGUGUGUGUGUGUGUGUGUGUGCAAAGAGGGGUGGUUCACGGCCAUGCUGCCUUCGACACUAAAUCAAUAAAUCUCCACAUGUGAAAGUAAAGCUUGCAGAAACAACUUAGGGGCAAAACUGUGAACCCUGUCUGAUGGGUUCAGAGUAGCUGGUCUUUAGGUGACAGAGGCUCUUUAAGCAGCUGAAUGGUCGAAGGUUUGGAGGUGCGAGUUAGCUGUGCAAAUCAAUACUCCAUCAUAACUCAGAGAGAACCUCCAACAAGCAGCGGCCUCCCUCCAAACUCUCAUGAAGUGAGGCAGUAAUGUGUGUUUCCUCGAGUUCUUUUUUACUGAUGAAAUGAAGCAGCACGCAGUCCUUCACAGGAGCAAGAGGAGUCAUAAAAAAUAAAGUAAAAACCUUAUUCCUCCAUUUGUGGAGGUCUUUUUUUCUUUUAUUCUUUUUUAGUAGGAAUUCACAAAACUAUUUUGUAGAACAAGAUUUAAAAGCGACUGAUGGACCAGAAUCAGGAACAGUGGAAAGAUUCAUCUGUGUAUCCAGUGUGCAAAGUUGGAUUUUUGCAGUCAUGCAGUUCGAUUACAAAAAAUGUUGUCUUGCUUUGACUCAGUGUUUAAUAAGAUACGAAAGUAUUUAUUAUAUUAUUUAGUCUGUCAUUUAUGUUUGUAGUAGGUAACUUUUUUUUUUUUUUUUUUUGCAUAGAAAUUACUUGUGGUCAGCCAAAAUCAGUUUUUGAAUGUUCAGUGUUAUGUUCAGCUGGCUGAUAGAAAAUGAUGAUAUAAUGUUGUGUUGCUGUGAUUUUGUAUUAAAUAGAGUGAUUUCAUAAGAACUGAGAAACAGAAUUGCAAUAAUAGAAUAAACUUUUAGUUAAGUUGUCUCAGAAAGAUAUUGCUAUAUAUGGACUUAGCUGAGGCUUUAUGGAUAAAACUGCCUGACAUAGUUAUUUAAUAUCCUCUCACAUUUACAAUUAAGUCCUGAUCCUGUUCUAAUGAGUUAUUGGUAAAUGGGCAUUAUGAAACUGCAUUAGUCCGUAUUACAUAACAGAUGAUUUUUUAUAGAACCCUAGCCAGUGGCUGUUUAAGAUUUGAUCAUCAUGAAGUGAACAUGUGAUCAUUCAGAAAGAUCAAAGGUUACCAAGGAAGGUCUGACAAAGUGAAUGGGGACUCAAAACCCUUUUUCACAACCUUUGUAUUAUUAUUAUAAUUAUUAUUAUUAUAAUUAUUAUUAUUAUUAUUAUUAUUAUUAUUAUUAUUAUUAUUAUUAUUAUUAUUAUUAUUAUUAUCAUUGUUGUUGUUGUUGUUAUUAUUAUUAUUGCUGUUGUUAUUAUUAUUAUUAUUAUCAUCAUCAUCAUCAUCAUCAUCAUUAUUAUUAUUAUUAUUAUUAUUGUAGUUGUUGUUAUAUUAGAUUAUUUUAUAUAUAUAAAUACACUACAGGCCAAAAGUUUGGAAGCAAGGCCAUUACAGGCCGAACAGUUGGGAGUAACUUCAAGUUUUUGUUCACAAUGCUUUUUUUUUAAAUCCAGCAUGAGUUGUAUGUAUUUUGGGAUGUAUUUACUCCAUGAUCAGAUGUUGCUUUCAUGGAAAUGCACCAUUUUAAUCACUUUACCUUUUGAUAUACAUUGAUGUUAACAGACCAUUGCUAAAUAUAUGUGAGCAAAAGAAAAGAGCUUAGUUUUAGAGUUGAAAACAUAUGCAAGAGUCACAACUUCAGUGCAAAAGCAAAAAAACAAAUCACAGUUGGAUUAUUCACUUAAACUUUUUGGCUUUUGAGAGCCUGCAUACAAAAAUCCGAAUAAAUCUCAACUUCGUUCAAACUACCACAAAAAUGGCUAGAAAGAAGCAACUGGGUUAAGAAACAAAAGUACAGACUUGUACAUUGAGGAAAGAAGGAUACACGGAAAGAGAAAUUGCAAAACGCCUAAAGGUGUUUAACAAAGGAGUUCACUACACUCUGAAGAGACAAGAGGAACCUGGAAGUUAUGAUGAUAGAAAAAGGCCGAAAUGAAAGAGAGUUACUACAAAAGCAGAGGAUAAACAUAGCAUUGUCAUCAGUAAAAGAGAUCGGCGAAAGACAGCACCACGAAUAAGGGAGGAAAUCAACAUAACAAGGUCAAAACCUAUAUCUCUGACAACUGUGAAAAGACGUUUGAGAAAGGCUGGUCUGAAGGGUUGUGUAACUGCAAAAAGACACUACUUCGUCCACAGAAUAAGAAACAAAGAUAUGAGUGGGCAAAAGCUCACAAAAAUUGGACCUAUGAUGACUGGAAACAAGUUCUCUGGACUGAUGAAAACAAGUUUGAACUGUUUGGUUCAAAAUGCAGAGUCUAUGUCUGCAGACAAACUGGUGAACGUCUGAAAGCACCAUGUGUUACACCCACAAUUAAGCAAGGAGGUGAUAGUUCCAUGGUAUGGGGAUGUUUUGCAGGUGAUGGAGUAGGAGAUUUUUUUGAAGUAAAGGGUAUCAUGAAGAAGGAACAGUACCACUCCAGCACCAUGCUGUUCCAUCUGGACUCCGACUUGUGGGUCAUAAGUUUAUUUUGCAGCAAGACAAUGGCCCUGAGUAUUCUGCCGAGCUCUGUCAGGGUUACUUAGACAAAAAAAAAAAAAAAUAGGGAGGUGUUCUUCAAAAGAUGGUUUGGCCCCCUCAGUCAGAGCUUGUGUGGGAUGAAUUGGAUCUCUCAGUCAGAAAAGCACGUCCCAUGAAUCAGCAGUCUCCUUUUAAUAAACUUAAGAAAGCUUGAAAUGCAAUCCCUGGAACAUACCUAAGAAAACUUGUGGAACGAAUGCCUCAUAUAUGCCAGCUUUUGUUAAAGCCAGAGGAGGUUACUCUAAAGAAAGCAAAGUCUAAGCAACAAUAACUCAAAUACUUAAUAAUUAUAGUCAAAGUGUCUUCUGAUAAGUUACUCUUUAAACAAUAGUCAUGUUUAUUGUGUUGCAAAUUAUAUUAAUGAAACUAUGGUCUUUUUUUGUAUAAAUCUGAUCUUGCUUCCAAACUUUUGGCCUGUAGUGUAUAUAUAAUCUUUUCUCAGUCAGCAGACAAGGUUUUUUUUUAAUUGUUUGUGUGUGUCCCCGUGAAUCCUGAGAUCUUACACAGUGAUUUUUUUAAGGACAUUUAAGAUAAUGUAUGUUAAAAAACCAACAAACUCAAUGAUAAAUGCAAAGAGAGAGAGGAUUUUUAAUCAGGCUUGCUGUUGUAAUGGAAAUAAAGCAUGUGCAUAAGUCUGACAUGUAACAAUCCAUGUGGUAUAAGAAACAACGCUGCACUGAUGUUUUUAGUUAAACAGCUCACAAGACAAAUGGCUGACCACGAGUACUGACCACAUUAGCUUGAGCCACCUCACAGCUUCAAAAAGACGUGCUGAGUCAGCAGAGAGCCUGAGGUGUGUACAGAAAGACAGGAGGUCCUGCCCCGUGGUGUUAAUUCUGGCAAAUUUUUUUCUGCUUGUGAUGUUGUGUCAAUGUUAGUGCCAAAAGAUGUGAAUUUAUGCACAACAGGAGUGGUUCCCUUCACGCCAUUUCAGUCUGUUUCUAUUCAACCUGGUUGAGGUUGACUACAUCAUGAGGAUUUAUUGUGACUGACCAUUCCUGCUUCAAUGUUACAAACAGGUUGUUAUGUAAAGCUCAGCUCAGGCCAAAACACAGCGGGCUCUAUUUUCGUGCCUCGCCGGCGACGCGGUGCAUGCACGGCGUAAGUGAGGUCCGCCGCGCCGACAAGGCGUUCCCAAGCACAAUUUGGUAUUUUGGUGAGCGGUGCAGCCCGGCGAAAGUAUCCCCCCUCCCUAACUCAGCUCCUCCCAGCGGCGUAAGUCGUAGCGAGGGAGGAGAGAGGGCGGGUAGUGGGUUUAACACAGCCGAGACCUGUUUUCACCAAUCACAUCAGCUCCUCUCCUUGCCUUUAAAUCCGCCACCGGUGAGGCAUAUUACAAUUUUCAUGAAGUAGUCAAGGAGAUCAAGAGAUGUCUGAAGACAGUUAUGCCACACAAUGGCGACAAAGGGCAGCUCCUCAACAAGUGUUAAUGUAAGCGCUGCAUUGGGCGUCCUCCACACCCUCUCAUAUGAGCACAGAUGGAUUUGGUGUGUGUAAUGUUGGACCCACUGGUAAGACAAACACCCUUUUCCACAGAUAAAGACACUCACAUAAAGUUGCUCAUAUUCAAACCUCACGUGACAAAAGUGGGUUGAGCGCACAGAUCACAACAUAAAUUCCAAUAAUGGCAUUAAAAUCGGAGCUAUCUGUGCGUAAAUGACGCAUCGCGCUCUGUGGCCUGGCUGUUUCUUUCAUAGAUGUUGGCAUAUAAAAUCAAUUUGGCUCACAAAACUGAAUAUUAUAAUAUCCGUAUGUCGGCUUAAAGUAGAUAACUCAUCUGAGCACUGAAACAAAUCAUCUGUUCAGCCGCUGCAGCAGCAGGACAGAGAGAGGACACGGAGACGUGUCCAGGUCGAGCUGUGCGAGAAAUAAGAGGAAGAGGAAGAAAGAAAAGGAGGGAGACGAAUUACAUAUCUUGUUAACUUCAUUAUGUGUGUUUAUUUACUAGAUAUUUAAUUUAAUUUAAUGUGGUUUCAGCUGUGUUGAUUCGGUCAGGUUGUGUGUCCAAACGCAUGCCAAACGCGCUCAUCAGAUCAGAUAUACAGUGAGUCCAAGAAGUAUUUGAUCCCUUGCUGAUUUUCUUCGUUUGCCCACUAAUAAAGAUGUGAUCAUUCUGCACAUUUAAUGGUGGAUGCAUUCUAACAUGGAGAGACAGAAUAUCAAAAAGAAAAUCCUGAAAAAAAUCUAAGGAAUAUAUAUUAAUUGAUUUGUAUUUCAUUGAGGGAAAUAAGUAUUUGAUCCCUCAGUAUGCAUUAGGAGUUCUGCCUUUCACAGACCAGUUAGACACUCCCAAUCAGCUUGUUACUUGAACUGAAGCCACCUGUUCUCACUAAUCACUUGUGUGAAAAACACCUGUUCACAGAAUCAGACAAUCUGACAGAUUUCAAGUCUCCAACAUGGGUAAGACCAAAGAGCUGUCUCAGGACCUCAGAGUCAGGAUUGUUGACCUCCACAAAGCUGGAAUGGGCUACAAAAAGAUUAGCAAGGUGUUGGAUGUGAAAGUAACAACUAUUGGUGCAAUUGUUAGAAAAUUUAAAGAGUAUAACAUGACCAUCAACAGACCUCGGCCCGGUGCUCCAAAGAAGAUUUCACCUCGUGGGGUGACAAUGCUCCUGAGAACGGUCAGAAAUCAUCCUGCAACCACUCGUCAGGAGUUGGUAAAUGACCUGAAGGCAGCUGGGACCACAGUUUGCAAGGAAACAAUUGGCAACACUUUGCGCAACAAUGGAUUAACAUCCUGCAGUGCCCGAAAGGUACCCCUGCUCAAGAAGGCACAUGUGGAGGCGCGCCUUAAGUAUGCCAAUGAUCACCUGAAAGAUGAACCGAGUUAUUGGGAGAAGGUUCUGUGGUCAGACGAGACCAAAAUUGAACUUUUUGGCCUCAACUCUACCCGCCAUGUGUGGAGGAAGAAAAAUGCUGCCUAUGACCCCAAGAACACUGUGCCCACCGUCAAGCAUGGAGGUGGAAGCAUAAUGUUUUGGGGGUGUUUCUCUGCCAAGGGUACAGGGCUACUUCACCGCAUCACUGGGAAGAUGGAUGGAGCCAUGUACCGUACAAUCCUGAGGGACAACCUCCUCCCCUCUGCCAGGAAGCUGAAAAUGGGCCGUGGUUGGGUCUUCCAACAUGAUAACGACCCGAAACACACAGCAAAGGCAACAAAGGAUUGGCUCAAGAAGAAUCACAUGAAGUUCAUGGAGUGGCCCAGCCAGUCUCCGGACCUCAAUCCGAUUGAGAAUCUAUGGAGGGAGCUGAAGGUCAGAGUUGCCAAGCGACAGCCCACCAACCUUCCUGAUUUAGAGAGGAUCUGCAAAGAAGAGUGGGCCAAAAUUCCCCCUGGUGUGUGUGCUAAACUUGUGGUUAACUACAACAAACGUCUCACUGCUGUGCUUGCUAACAAAGGCUUUGCCACUAAGUAUUGAGUGUGUUUGGCUAGAGGGAUCAAAUACUUAUUUCCCUCAAUGAAAUACAAAUUAAUUAAAAUAUAUUCUUUAAAGUUAUAUUCUGGAUUUUUGUCUUGAUAUUCUGUCUCUCCAUGUUAGAAUACAUCUACCAUUAAACGUGCAGCAAGGGAUCAAAUACUUCUUGGACUCACUGUAGAUCAGAAUAUAUCGAUAUAGAUCUAAAUAUAUGUGCUGACUCAGAUUAAUAGUUGAUGAUUAUUUAUUGCACUGAAAUGUUCCUGACACUGUGGAAACCUGCCGGUGAGGCAUCGGUGACGUAUGCCGAUACGCCGCCGGUCUACCAAAAUACCACUAGACCAGCUGCGUUCCGCCUGCGAUGAAACUGACCAGGUUUGAAUCUGCAAGCUUUGACAACCUUUACACGCCGGUGGCGACCACGAAAAUGUCACUGCGCCCGCUGAUUCUGUCGACACCUCCCCCUGCCACGCCACCACGCCAAGCUUGGCGGAUCUCGGCUCGCCUCCGUACGCCUCAGUCCAUGAAAAUACCAAACUGGCCAUACGCCGGGCUGCGCCAGACGAAAAUACAACUGCGCGGGGCUCGCCGCCCUCCGCCGCCUCACGGGCGUACACGAAAAGGGCUUUAGGCAGCUCCUUCAGCAGCAGACUGAGACUCCCACCCUGCAGGACGGAGCGCUACCGCAGAUCAUUCCUCCCCUCUGCAAUAAGACUUUACAAUGAACAGUAACAAAACUGGAUUUACACCACCACCACUUUUUUUCUGGCAUUUAAAUUGUGUAUAUCGUAGAAAGCUUUAUUUUUUCUUUCUCCCUUUUCUAAUUUUUUUCUUAAUUAUUACAUUUAUUUAAGUUCUUAAUAUUAGGACCCUUAUUGUUAUAACUGCAUUUUUGCACUCUUUGUCUUGUCUGUGAUGCUGCUGUGACAAAAAAAUUUCCCCCAUGGGGGAUCAAUAAAGGAAUAUUCUAUUCUAUUCUAUUCUAUUCUAAAAUAGAGCCCAGCGUCUUUGGCAUCUCAGAGCCUGAGUGUUGGAGUGACUCGAGCACUCCAACACAUAAAUAUGUAGUGCUCAUAGCAGCCGAUAGAGGUGUUUAUCUAUUUACUCUGCAGUCAGUGACUACAGUCUGUGUUAUGGUGAGUUAGCAACAUCAGGAACUUUGAAAGUUUUAUAUUGACCGCCCAUCCUGCAUUGCAGCUCGGGGUAGUGCAGCCUUUACCCUGUGUCUUCCGGAGUAUUUUGAUUCUGUUUAACAGCUUGCAAUAAGCCACGGUCGUGUCAUUUUCCUCAGAUUUCAAAGUCAAAAUCAGUAUACUAGCUCUGAGGCCUGUACUACGAAGCUGGAUUAACACAUCCAGGAUAACUCUGCGACAACUCGUUAAACUUCACCGGAUCUCCGCGAUCCCGAUCAGCUGUACUACGAAGCAGGAUAUCAACUCGAUAACUGAAUCCAGUUCAGAUCUGUGCGCGCACACGUAAAGGGGGUCGGGUCAGUGCCACCGGACCAAUCGCCACAAUGGAGAAGGCUGCACGUCAUUUUUCACAGCUGAAGAACAGAGCUUUAUUUAAACAGUGAGACAGACACAGCCGCUAAAAGCCGGAGGGACUGCCGGCAAAAAAAAUCACCGCUUGUGUAAAUUACAUUUGUGUGUUCAUAAAUUUAUGGCCCCCUAAUAUGUUGUCAUGCAGCGUGUGUGAUCACCACCAUCACUGACCUCAUUAUUUCAGAUACAACAGCAGUGGGGAAAAGAGUACGUGGGAACAAAUAAAAAUAAAUCUAAAAACAUCCUUUAAAGUAGUUUGUAAGUUUAUUGGAAGAUUUUAUUUGUACAUAUUUCAACGCGUAAACAGUGAUUUCCUCACACUGCCUUUUUUUUUUCUCCAUCAUCUGAUGGUCACGUCAUCUGCACACAUUUGGGGUUAAGAGUUUUCUAAUCUGCUUCAAUGAAUUCUGAAUGAUGACUAACAAAUUUGAACCUGGAGCUUGGCAAAUAUUAGUGCAUUGCUUAGACUUCAUGCUGCCCGAAUAUUGAGGCCGUCCGAGGAAAACCUGUAACGUUCAUAGAGAACGUCAUCAGGUAAAUCAAACGGAUUUGAACGAUCAUGAAUAUAACGCUCUCGGCGAAGCGCUCCUCUCACUAUCCGUGCAACGAUGUCCCCGGGAUCCGGCAAAAGUGGGCAAGCCAUUUUCCAAGAGAUCCGAUUGGUCAGUGGGCGGUUUUUUAUACCUGCUGAGCUCUUAUCCUGAAACAUAACCUGCUCCGGAGCAGGUUUGGCGUUCCGCGUAAGUUACCGGGGCAACGGACCCGGAUAAAAAGAGAUCCACCUUCGUAGUACGGAAAACCCAGAAGUUACCUCGCUAAGACCAAAUCCAGCUUCGUAGUACAGGCCUCAGAUCAUGUUCACACAGUUUUUAUUAACCAGGUGUCCAAAUGUGCAUGUCCACACCGUAUUCCGAACAUUGUUGCCACAGUUACUUUUACAAAGUAAUUUGAUGAUGACUGAUUACUCCUCUAAAAAGUAACUGUUACUUGACUGAUUAUUUGAUUUUAAAAGUAACUUAGUCAGAUUACAAGUAACUUUUUAAGAUACAUUCAGCAGCCUCAACAUGUUUGACAACCAUUUUAACCACUUUAAUAUUGUUAGCUGACACAAAGUCAAAAUAGUGGCUGUAUUUCUAGCUUGACAAUGCGCAUCUUUCUCCUCCCUCCAUUGUUGUUUAUGUUCGUUUGGCCGUGGUUGUUUUAUGUGUGUGCACAUGUGUUAAAUGUGAGCGGUCCUCUUGCUGAAAACAUGACUUGUUGCCUAUUGACUGAUGUCAUUCCCCCCAGAUGAAAACAUUUUUUUGGUGUUUUUGUUUUUUAAAGAAAAUGACAAAAAAGUAAUGCACACAGUUACUUGGAUAUGUAACUUAAAUUUAAUCACUGGUUUGGAAAUAGCAACGUGUUAGAUGACUUGUUACUGAAAAAAUGUGGAUUUAUUAUAGUAGCACGUUACUGAGAAACGCGUUACUGGCAUCACUGAUUCUGAAUAUGAUCAAGUAAAACUCAUGACCAUGAUUUUCAGAUCCUUGUAAGCACACUCAUUAUCUGCACUUUGUCCAGCUAUGUGUGUGUGUGUGUGUGUGUGUGUGUGUGUGUCAGUCUUCCUUACCAUCUUUGUUUUUAUUUACUCUUUAGACCCGAUCUGUGAUGAUGUCUACGUAACUUCUUCGUGUGUUAUAAAAUGAUCAAUCCCGUUUUGUUUCCAGCUCUGUUUCCAACCUUUUACCUUCCACACCUCUCUCCAGCUUUACUCAAUCAGGUUCUGACACAAUGAGGCUGCUCCUCCAUGUUCUCCACAACAGCUUCAAACAUUUACAUCCAGCAUGUUUGCAUCGUGUUCAUGCACAUGGUUCACCUCUUGCACUUUAAUCACACCUAAUCACUCUUUACUUCAAACACAACCUGCACUGGGAGGACUCAGACAUUACAAGAUUACAAAUCAGCGGAGUGUGCAACACUUUAAAGGCGUCACUCUUCGCUGCAGCUCUUCUAAAAGUGGAUGGCCUGUAAUCUAUUUAGAGCAACCUGCAUGUGACAGCUCCCCAGCAACGACACAGUUCAUCCACGUGACAUUCGCCACCCUGGAAAUGACGUGUUUCAAUGCCAAGUUCCAAUCAUCAGUGAGAGUCUGUAUCAGUAUUCCUCUAUUGAAAUAGGGCCUCUGUCACUGUUCGCCACUGUAAAGGCAGGAACACGCUUCAAUUGAAGGUCUAAUUGCUUUGACAAAUCACAGCUGUACAUGAGGGCCGGGCUUCCUUCACUAUGUGCAGGUACACACAGCUAAUGGAAAUGCCACAGUGGGGCUUCAAAAACCCUAUCUAUUGGAGGAAAUAUGGAACAAACCCCCAACAUAUUACAGCGGUGUAUAAAUCUAAGCUAAAUGGUACAGAUGUGGGGUAAAACUAACAGUUAAAUCACAAGAGCUGCUGAUUUAUUCACUCUGCCCUGACUGUCAGAUCAUGAAUAAAGACGCAUGAAACAAUGAGGAAAAGCUAGAAAUCACAACAGAGUACAUCGUAACGCUGAGAUGAUGGUCUACAAACUCCCUGUCUGGCCCUAUUUCUCUAAGCACGGAGCCCACAGGUGAAAUGUAUUUAUUACACCAGGUUAAUGGUGAUAGUACUCUGAAAGUGCAGAGCUGUGGAGUCAGAUUGGAGUGUGGGCUAAACGUCUAAUUUGUAAUUGAGAAGACUUCACUUUUUAGGGUGCAGAGACCUCAAGAGCACUCCAGAGGAUUCAGAGCAUGACUCAAAUCUCAACCUCUGUGUCAAGUUUUGGAUUAGACUCAUUCAAGUGGUGGGGCCAACUCAAGAGGAGAUACUCCAGAUUAAAAAUAGAAAAAAAGAAAAAAAAACCUCUGCAAAAAAGUCAGGGGCAGAAACAAGUUGCUGCUCUGUAUUUUAUAGAGGCACUUCUUUUCUGCAUACCAGAGGUAUACACCAACAAACUUGACAAGUCAUUUUUAAGUGUUUUCACAAACUGGACUGGAGCCAGUCCUCGACUUUUUCAACUGAAUAUUCAAACUCUUAAAACUCGGACAUGGAAUAUGUCUAUCAGAGCGUACUUGGUGUUUUUUAUUUCUUAAAAACAUAUGUUGUUUAAUACCUUUGUGCGUCCCAUACAACUGUAUACCAACAAAUAUAGAGAGGUUAUUAAAGGUGCCUUGGUGUUUUACCUAUAGUAAGGCACCAUAACCCAUCUAAAACUCUGUUACAGCCAUGCAUUAGCGAUACCACUGGAGCUGCCACUAUGACGCACUACACACAACUUGUUAUGGUUAAAUUCAGCUCCACUCAUUUCCCUCUAAAAGCAGCUCUUUUUGUAACAGCUUCUCUCCUACAGUAGGCCAUGCAUUUUAAAGAACUGCUGAUUGAUCAAACUGACUAUAUUGAGAUAAGAGACCAGCAGAGAUAGGUGGUGUAACUCCAUGUCUAUGAAGUUAUGGGCUGCAGAUCUGUACUCAGGUGGUCACAAUAUCAGAUCGUUUACCUCACAAUUAUUGUGGCCUUAAAAUAUCACAAUACACAUACCAUUGUGAUAUUAAUUGAAAUCUUGAAAUUAAAACACCAUCAGUCAAAUUAAAUUACUUCAACUUUACACAGUUCUUCACACUUAACAUAUAUCUCAUCAUCCAUUCCUAAUGAUGUUUAAAUGUACGAUUUAUCCACGUCAUCAGCCCUGUGACUGAAAGCUCUUAGUAGAUAUUACCUCAAAGCAUGAUAGCUCCCCAUGUUUUAAUGUUUGACACUGUUUUCUGUGUCACCUGAGGCUCGCUCUACUCCCUGCAUUGUCAAACUAUGCCUGUCAUUUUAUUUCAUUUCAUUUUUAUUUGUUCUGCUCAUGGCAGUUUUUAAAUAUUUCUAUAAAUACAAAGACAUUUAACAAUUGUAGCACAGGGAGCAGGUAGAAGACACGGCUUUAAUUUGAAGUAUACUAUUUAUGGUUGAUUGUAAGUAAAGGAACUGAAUAAAAAUGGUAAAAACAGCUUCUUCUUCUUCUUGUUUAUAAAGUAAGGACCGCUACUUAACUCAGUAUUACGGCAUUCUCAGCUUUUCUUGUUUUUCCAAAAUGUUUUAAGACAUUAUAUUGUCUUAAAUAUUUUGGUACAGCCCUCAUCUGCACAUCAGUAAUGUUAUUGUCCAGGAGCAGCACUUUGAGGACAUUGCUUAAUGCACUGUACAUCCUUGUGCAGGGAGAAAGUUUCAGGCAUUGUCCACAAGUACAGGGGUAUUUCUGAAGGCAUGUUUAAUUCUUUCUGUGUUGCUGCCUCCUGUUUCCCCCUAGAUUGAAUUAUGGGUUACUGGAAAUGAAACUAAAUCAAAGCAUAUGUUAGAGUGGAGACUUUUUUAAACUCUGAUUAGUUUUUUCCAUGUACGGCAAAAACACAGGUUUGGGGAAGUGCUGAUUUACUGCUGGUUUGUUUACUGUCAGGUUAAAUUGCACAUUAUAAUUGAAAGCUACUUGAGCAAGUGAAUGAAUAUAUACUGCUCAAUGCUUUUUUUUUUUUUUUAAGUACAGUGAAUACAGUUUUACAAUUGUUUUUUUAAAAAUACAGCUAACUCAAGGGCAACAUCUUUUUCUCGUUUCAACAGGACUCUCAGUGUUGCAUCUUUACGACCUCACCAGUUCUUGUUUGAUCAACAAAGAGACAGCGCACUUUUUAUAAGUGCGCUUCAUGGUAAAAAGUCCUUUAUCUUGCAACUUUCCCCAUAAUUGUAUGUAAUGGAAGUAAAGUAAAACUUGUAUAAGACAGAAGAAGUUCUUUGUCUUGACAGCGGAUUUAAUCACUGCACUCAUGUAGGCUCCCUUCUGAGAUACCUGAUGAUUUCUCACCUGCCAGUCACAGAGGACGAUUGAAUACGCCUGGUUUUCAAUUAUCUGAACAUAUUUUACAUCAGUUAGAAAUUUCUUCUGAAAGUAAAAUCUCACCUCCUAAUUAGACUUCUGUGAGUUGACUUAAGAAAAGGUUAUGGACAGAUGGACCAUCUCGUUACCAUGGAAAUUCCAGAAUCACCUGAAGAUGUGCUCAUUGGAUAUCCUCAGUGCCUCCUAUGAUUUAACUCCACACACAGAGAAAUGCAAGCAGGCAGAAACACACACAUCACACAGGUGCUCUUUGAAGCACAGCAUGAAUGAGCUGCAAAUAACAAAAUGGCCUCAGCAGAGUGCUGGAGCCAUGGUUGCUACUUACUGCAGAGGACCGGGCAAAAAACAAAACAGCACAGACUGAUAGAAACAUGUGACUUUACAGAGAAAAUCAGACAGAGAGAAGGAAAGAGAGAGAGAGAGACUGUUCAGAUCUAAACUAGUGCUUUCAUUCAGAAUAUGUAUUCUGACAGGUAUCAAGUGAAUGAAGUGACCUGUAGAACUCUUUGUCUGGUCUUGCUAAACUCCUUUGAAUCUCUUUCCCUUUGUCCUCUCAUGACAUGUAAAAUAACAAUAAACUUUUCAACCUCAGAAAGAGAAUUACAAUGAUGACAGAGAGUGGGACAAAGGCAUGGGAUUUAUUACAGUGUGUAUGUACAAAUAUUCUAAGCAUCAAUGACAUAAGAAUUCAAAAACAAUUGGAAUUUACAAACAACAUUGAAUGAAAUUCAUAUCAUUGGAGAUGAAAAAAAAAAAAAAAAAAAAAAAGACCACUAUGCAGCCAAACCCUGUCCGAGGCUUGUAAAAUAUCACAUUUAACAAAGCCUAAAGCAUUCACCAGAUAUGGGGUUUACUAAAACCAUCUAAGUUGCUUUUUUGUAUAUUUUUUGGUAAGAAAAAGAAACACAUUCCAAUUAAGUCCUUGCUCUGCUUUUAGAGUCCUAAUAAGAAACUAAUUGCUGAUAUUUAGAAUGACAAUCAUUAGAAAUCACAAAUGGGGUUAAACCCAAGGAAUUUGAGAAGACACUAAGAGCCAUUUGGCGACAAAGGUGUAUUCAUGAGCUAUGCAAAAGAUUGAAAGGAAGAGCUCUAGAGAACAAAAAUGAGUGUUUGACUGACACACCACAGAAGAUUGGACACAAAGGAGCAACAAAAGUCCUGUGAGAAAAAGACAUUUCUUAAAAAUAGGAGAAAAAAAAAAAGAAAAAUAAAAGACAAAGAGAAAAAGAAAUAUACUUCAUAUUCUGCUAUAAGGCCAGCAUGCACUACAAUUCACUGAUUUCAUUAGCAGCAGUUUUAAAUGAAUUAAGUCUUUUGUAAUUGUACCUCAAUUACACUCCACUUUCCCCUCAGUUGCAUUCUUAAUUAGCAUUUAUCAGAAAGCAGGCUUAAUGAGAGAAAUGCGUCCUGGGUAGCUGAAUGGGCACAGUCAGGGGGAAUAAACAGAAGAUGUAAAAAUCCUAAAUCAUCAAAUUGAAAAUUUAGGGUUUUUUGUCUGUAAAUGUUUUUAUGUGCAGACAUAAUGUGCAGCAGUAUUUCUCUGUAAUACUCAUCAUCCAGACUCUGCACCCAGUGCUGUAAACUUUUCUUUCCAUUACUGUCAACUGGUCUCUGCACCAUUCAGUGUGUCUGUUCCAUAUAUACGUCACCACCCACACUGAUUGGCGGUAGCUACACUUGGUCACAGUCGCUCAGCACAGGCUCUUUGUGGCACUGAAUUAAGGCUGUAAUUCUCAUGUCAGGAUCACUGGUAGUAUGUGGUUAACUUGAUCAUGAGAGUAGGUGGAGGAAGCCAACUGUCAGACAGAUAUGAAGCUGGACUGUCAGAGUAUGUUUGAAACAGGGCACGCAACUUCAACUCUACAACACAGAGCACGUCAUGUUUAGAAAUUACUCCCCUUCUGCCUCUAUUUUAGGUUGGGAAAACUCACCUCCUGGCUGUAUGUACAUCUGAUGUACACUACAGGCCAAAAGUUUGGAAGCAAGGCCAUUACAGGCUGAACAGUUGGGAGUAACUUCAAGUUUUUGUUCACAAUGCUUAUUUUAAAAUCCAGCAUGAGUUUUAUGUAUUUUGGGAUGUAUUUACUCCAUGAUCAGAUGCUGCUUUCAUAGAAAUGCACCAUUUUAUUCCAUUUACCUUUAGAUAUAUAUUGAUGUUAACAGACCAUUGCUAUAUACAUAUGUCAGCAAAAAAUAAGGGAAAAAAACAAAUCACAGUUAGAUUAUUCACUUCAACUUUUUGGCUUUUGAGAGUCUGCAUACAAAAAUCCUAAUAAAUCUCAACUGCGUUCAAACUACCACAAAAAUGGCUAGAAAGAAGCAACUGAGUAAAGAAACAAAAGUACAGACUUGUACAUUGAGGAAAGAAGGAUACACAGAAAGAGAAAUUGCAAAACGCCUAAAAGUGUUUAACAAAGGAGUCCACUACACUCUGAAGAGACAAGAGGAACCUGGAAGUUAUGAUGAUAGAAAAAGGCCGAAAUGAAAGAGAGUUACUACAAAAGCAGAGGAUAAACAUAGCAUUGUCACCAAUAAGAGAGAUCGGCAAAAGACAGCACCAAAAAUAAGGGAGGAAAUCAACAUGACACGGUCGAAACCCAUCUCUCUGACAACUGUGAAAAGACAUUUGAGAAAGGCUGUUCUGAAGGGUUGUGUAUCUGCAAAAAACACUACUUCGUCCACAGAGCAAGAAAAAGAGAUAUGAGUGGGCAAAAGCUCACAAAAAUUGGACUUAUGAUGACUAGAAACAAGUUUGCACUGCUUGGUUCAAAACGCAGAGUCUAUGUCUGCAGACAAACUGGUGAACGUCUGCAAGCACCAUGUGUUACACCCACAAUUCAGCAUAGAGGUGGUAGCGCCAUGGUAUGGGGAUGUUUUGCAGGUGAUGGAGUAGGAGAUUUGUUUGAAGUAAAGGGUAUCAUGAAGAAGGAACAGUACCACUCCAUCCUCCAGCACCAUGCUGUUCCAUCUGGACUCAGACUUGUGGGUCCUAAGUUUGUUUUUCAGCAAAACAAUAACCCUAAAUAUUCUGCCAAGCUCUGUCAGGGUUACCAAGACAAAAAAGAAGAGGAAGGUGUUCUUCAAAAGAUGGUUCGGCCCCCUCAGCACAGCACAUGCAGAGUCACAUGCAGUGUAUCUCAGUCAGCAAUCCUUGAAAUCAGAUGAGUUCAUUCGCCUCCUACAUUCCAGGCUCUGCAAUGUGACUAACGUUCACACGUACAUCGCAAUGACAAUGCUCAAACGAUGCAUAUUGUGCAGCGCUACUGACAAGUCCUUUGUUCUCCCACACUUCCCCAUAAAUCAAUCCCCCUUUAGCAUACUAUAACUAUAAACUCUAUUGAUCAAAAUGUAAUAAUAAAUAAGCAUUAUUAACUGGAAAAGAAUGAAGAUGAUGAAUAAAUUGACUGGCCGAUCCAAAUUAAGUUACAGUAAUAAAUCCAAAAUCCCCAACUCAAUUUCCCCCCUCUCCAACGCCAACAUAUACCUCAACUAAUGUACCCCUAAACAAUACUGUUUACCAAUUAGGUUAUUUUAAGUGCGUGUGUGUGCGUCUGUGUGUGUAUGACCUGGGCCUCCCAUCACAAACAUAUUAAGGGUUAAAUUCAAUACCAGCAACAGGUUUCAAACUAUUAGUUUCGGAUUCAUGUUUUUUAUCAUGUGUCCUCAGCUCUUCUUUAACUUAUUCAGUGCCAGGUUUAUUUAUGCAAUUUUCACCCACUGCCACUAUUGACUGCAAUAGAAAUUUUCAUAAAUAUCAGGACCCUCAGAAUAUCUUGUUUUUGGACUAUAAAUAUCUCAAAGGGGUGAUUCUCUUCUUUCACCAGAAAAAGUAAGUCUCUAACCCACUCCUGUGUUUAGUUAUUGUCUGCUCAAUGCAGUGUGGUCAUAUCAUCUUUAGCCUUCUGAAAAAAGAAACCUUGGAAAAACACAUUUUCACAAAGGAGAGACUUUCGAGCAGAACCCUGAUUGUAUUUCAUUGGCAUCAAGGUCCUUCCUCCUCAGACACCACUCCUCAUCCCUUUCGAGAUCCAAUUGUGAUAGGUCACUUUGUGACGGCUGGGAGUUGUAUUGGCUCUUAAGAACCUGACGCCACGAAGUAAACCAUGCAAUAAUAAAUAAUAAUAUCUUACAUUUGUAUAGCGCCUUUCAAGAUACCCAAAGCGCUUGACUGCAGACUGUUUGUGUCCUACUCGCUGGGACUGAAUUCCGGCUCAAAUUUACCAGUACCAUCAACGGCGGCACAACGACAUGCCAGAAAAUAGUUUAUUUGAUUGUCUACUUACAAUGUGAAGGUCCAGUACCGGGAUCUGCACUGAAUCCAGAGCUGGUGGCACCGCACCAACGGGAGCCGAUGCACCGAGACCUUGACUAAUGACUUUGGCAUUUUCCUACUCUCCUCAUGGAGAAAAAAACACUCCACAACUAGGCUAAAUGGCACACUUCUCGCUUGCGAGCACUUGUGUUUUUUUGUUGUUGUUGUUUUUAUUGUUACAUGGUUAUGACUUAUUUGUCAGCUUUUCUGCAUUCUAAAUGACCCCAAACUAAGUUGCAUGUUAGGGAGGAGCGCCCUCUGGUGGAAAACAGAAAAAUCCGUCAAAAUCCAUUAAUAGCACUCAGGUCAAAUAAAAAAAUCUGUCCAAAUCCAUCAUCCGUAGAUCUUAGUGAACCCAACAGACCAGGUUCUAAAGUAUGAAAGUAAAAUACACUCACCGGCCACUUUAUUAGGUACACCUGUCCAACUGCUCGUUAACACUUAAUUUCUAAUCAGCCAAUCACAUGGCGGCAACUUAGUGCAUUUAGGCAUGUAGACAUGGUCAAGACAAGCUCCUGCAGUUCAAACCGAGCAUCAGUAUGGGGAAGAAAGGUGAUUUGAGUGACUUUGAACGUGGCAUGGUUGUUGGUGCCAGAAGGGCUGGUCUGAGUAUUUCAGAAACUGCUGAUCUACUGGGAUUUUCACGCACAACCAUCUCUAGGGUUUACAGAGAAUGGUCCGAAAAAGAAAAAAUAUCCAGUGAGCGGCAGUUCUGUGGGCAGAAAUGCCUUGUUGAUGCCAGAGGUCAGAGGAGAAUGGCCAGACUGGUUCGAGCUGAUAGCAAGGCAACAGUGACUCAAAUAACCACCCGUUACAACCAAGGUAGGCAGAAGAGCAUCUCUGAACGCACAGUACGUCGAACUUUGAGGCAGAUGGGCUACAGCAGCAGAAGACCACGCCGGGUGCCACUCCUUUCAGCUAAGAACAGGAAACUGAGGCUACAAUUUGCACAAGCUCAUCGAAAUUGGACAAUAGAAGAUUAGAAAAACGUUGCCUGGUCGGAUGAGUCUCGAUUUCUGCUGCGACAUUCGGAUGGUAGGGUCAGAAUUUGGCGUCAACAACAUGAAAGCAUGGAUCCAUCCUGCCUUGUAUCAACGGUUCAGGCUGGUGGUGGUGGUGUCAUGGUGUGGGGAAUAUUUUCUUGGCACUCUUUGGGCCCCUUGGUACCAAUUGAGCAUCGUUGCAACGCCACAGCCUACCUGAGUAUUGUUGCUGACCAUGUCCAUCCCUUUAUGACCACAAUGUACCCAACUUCUGAUGGCUACUUUCAGCAGGAUAAUGCGCCAUGUCAUAAAGCUGGAAUCAUCUCAGACUGGUUUCUUGAACAUGACAAUGAGUUCACUGUACUCAAAUGGCCUCCACAGUCACCAGAUCUCAAUCCAAUAGAGCAUCUUUGGGAUGUGGUGGAACGGGAGAUUCGCAUCAUGGAUGUGCAGCCGACAAAUCUGCGGCAACUGUGUGAUGCCAUCAUGUCAAUAUGGACCAAGCUCUGUGAGGAAUGCUUCCAGCACCUUGUUGAAUCUAUGCCACGAAGAAUUGAGGCAGUUCUGAAGGCAAAAGGGGGUCCAACCCGUUACUAGCAUGGUGUACCUAAUAAAGUGGCCGGUGAGUGUAUUGUCCCAUUUUGGCCUGAUAGAGGAAUUCAGCUGCUCAAAAGUUCAGGGUCUCAUUUGUCCGGUUUUUGGUGUCCUGAUGCUUCAAAUGUUUUCAAUGGGGGACAAGUCAGGACUACAUCAGUCCAGUUUCUCAGCAGGACUCUUCGACUACAGAGCCAUGCCGUUGUAAUCCCUGUCGUCAGAAUGUGGUUUGUCAUUGUCUUGCUAAAAUAUGAAGGUCUUCCCUGAAAAAGUCUUUGUCUGGAUGGCAGUAGAUGUUGCUCCUUAACCUGCAGAUAUCAUUUAGCAUUAAUGGAGCCUUCACAGAUGUGGAAGCUACCCAUGACAUGGACUUUGAUGAUCCCCAGACCAUCAGGGAUGCUGGCUUUGAACUGGCAGCUUAGAACAAACUGGGCAGCUUCUUGGCAAAGGAUGGAGCACCCAUGAUUUCCAAAGAGAAAAUCAGAUUUUGAUUAAUCAGACCACAGGACAGUCUUCCUCUUCUCCAGUCUACCUUAAAUGGACUCAGGUCCAGAGAAGUCUCUGGUGUUUCUGGAUCAUGUUCCUAUCUGGUUUUCUCUUUGCAUGGUUCGGUUUUAACCUCAUCUGUGGAUGCAGUGAUGAAGUGUGUUCAGAUAAUGUUUUUCGGAAGUGAUUUUCAAUCAAUCAAUCAAUCACUUUAUUUAUAAAGCACUUUUCAUACAUAAACUUGCUGUACACAAGAAAGGGAGGAUCAGGGAAUACAAAAUAAAACACAAACUGCAAAAACCCACCCACCCAUCCUCCAAGCCCGCAUUUAACAGAGACCCCCACCCACCCACCCACCCAGCACACACACACACACACACACACACACACACACACACACACACACACACACACACACACACACUCACAACCAAGUCAGGGCUCAACAGAAAGCCACAGAGGACCAAGGAAAUGCUAUCUUAAACUAAAAUGGGGAAACACUGGAGCUGAAGCUAAACUGAUAAAACCAUGACAAGAUAUAAAAAAUAAAAUUAAAUAAAACAACAACAAUAAUAAUAAUAAUAAUAAUAAUAAUAAAACUUUUAAAAUAAAACAAUAAAAGAAAAUACAAAAAUAGUGUUAAAAUAUAAGAAUAAUUCUAGGACUGGAGUAAACUAAAGAGGCUAGAGGAAUAAAACAAAAAUCAGCUAAAGGCCAGACUAAAAACGAAGGUCUUGAGUUUGCGUUUCAAAAUAUGAACUGAAGGUGCUGCUCUCAGGUCUUCAGACGGACUGUUCCACAGACGGGGGCCAUAAUAAUAAAAUGAUGCCUCACCGUAUGUUUUGGUUCUAACUUUGGGGACUAUUAAAAGACCACUACCUAAAGACCUGAGGGCUCUACUGGGCUCAUAUCAUAAAAGGAAAUCAGAUAAAUAAGAAGGACCAAGACAUUUAUAAACUAAUAAAAGAACCUUAAAAUCUAUUCUAAAAGAUACAGGAAGCCAAUGCAGAGACUUUAAAAUUGGUGUAAUGUGGGCUCUCCUCCUGGUCUUCGUCAGCGUGCGUGCAGCCGAAUUUUGCAGCAGCUGAAGCUGUGAAAUGUUCUUUUUAGGAAAUCCAGAGAGGAGGGCACUGCAAUAAUCAAUUCUGCAGGCAAUAAAAGCAUUGAUAAGAGUCUCUGAAUUGGCUUGAGAGAGAAACUGGCGGACUCUGGAGAUGUUCUUAAGGUGAUAAAAAGCCUUUUUGGUGACAUCACUUGUGUAAUUCAAAGCUGAGAUUAAAAUCAAAUGUAACACCCAGAUUUUUAACUUGUUUUGAGGGAUUAAAAGACAGUUUGUUCUCCAGUUUCUCUCUCUUUGGACCUGCACCGAUGACUAAAACCUGGGUUUUGUCCUGGUUGAGCUGCAAGAAGUUGUCUGCCAUCCAGGACUGGACGUCUAAAAUACAGUUAAAAAGGGCAUCAAUGGGCCCUGUGUCAUCAGGAGACACGGCCAGGUAAAGCUGUGUAUCAUCAGCAUAGCUGUGAAAGUUAAUGCUGUGUCUUCUGAUGACAUCUCCUAAUGGUAACAUAUAUAGAUUAAAAAGUGUGGGGCCAAAAAUUGAGCCCUGGGGAACGCCACACUCCAUUUAAUAGGUUCUUGAUGAGCGUUUCCCAGUGCUAACGUAAAAUUUCCUGCCAUUCAGAUAUGUUUUAAACCAGCUAAAAACAGUACCAGAGAUGCCAAUGUAGUUUUGGAGUCUGUUUAAAAGAAUUGUAUGAUCUACCGUGUCAAAAGCUGCACUCAGGUCCAACAGGACUAAAACAGAAAUUAAUCUUUCAUCCAUGUCGGACCUGAGGUCACUUACAAUCUUGACCAGUGUACUGUGAUUUUUCCGAAAACCAGACUGAAAUAUGUCACAAAUAUUUUUAGAAAUCAUAAAAUCAUUUAACUGGUUAAAAACAAUCUUUUCUAAAACUUUGCUUAAAAAGGGCAGGUUGGACACAGGUCUGUAAUUAUCAGGUACCGCUGUAUCAAAGUUGUUUCUCUUCAGAAGGGGUCUGACACAGGCUGUCUUGAAGGCAGUGGGAAAGACCCCUGUCUGAACAGAAUAGUUUACAAUACUAAUAAUGUCAUCCUUAAAAACACUAAAAGAGGUCUUAAAAAGGGAUGUGGGGAUAGGAUCUAAAACACAAGUCACUGGUCUAAAAUGGGAGACAACCUCCUCAAUCUCUGCAGCAUCAACCAGGGCAAACCUGUCCAGUGUUUCCCCAUUUAAAAACAAAGACUCAGAAUAGCUAAAAUCAUCAGGCUUCCUGUUUAAAAAGUUUGACCUGAAAACGUCAAUUUUAAUUCUGAAGUGGACUGCAAGGUCUUCACAGAAUAAAUUUGAAUUAAAAGGUUGCUUAAAAACAGGACUUGUUAAUUGGUCAAUGGUUGAGAAAAGGAUUUGGGGGUUAUUGCGAUGGUCAGCUAUUAAUUUUAAAAAGUGGUCCUGUCUUGCUUGUUUUACUGCUCUGUUGUAAGUGGGGAUUUGUUCCUGAAAAAUCUGAUAAUGCACUUGUAAUGGGUUUUUCCUUCUUUUUUACCUUUAAUGGUGCAACAACAUCUAUUGCUGACUUAAGUUUCUGGUUUAAAUGAUCAACAAUAAAAUCACAAGCAGAGGGUAAAACAGCCUUUUGAGCAUCAGUUAAAAUCUCACUAAAAUUAGCAGCCAUUUCAGAAGUAAGAUAGCGUUUCCUGACAGUACGCUCUGGGACCUCCUGCUGGAUAAAAUCCAUUACGUUAAAAAACACACAGUGAUGGUCGGACAAGCCCACAUCCACAACAGAGGACACAGGGGCUGAUAACCCAAAGGUUAUUAAAAGAUCCAAUAUAUUUCCUCUGUUUUGGGUGGAGCUUGAUACAUGCUGCUUAAAAUUCAUAAAUUUAAUAAGAUUUAAAUAUUCAGAGCUAAAAGAGUCUGAUGGAUUCCCAACGUGAAUUUUCAAAUCCUCUACAAUAAUGAUUUUGUUGUUCUUUGAAUAAAUGAUUGAUAAAAGUUCUGAAUAUCACUGAUAAAAGCAGAGCAUUUUUUUUGGGUGGCCUGUAAACGGUUAAACAAAAUAUAGAUUUUGAGUCCAUGCAGUGAUUUCCACUCAAGAAUCCUUUCUGUUUCUAGUACAGUGCUGCCUGAGGGUCUGAAGAUUCACUCAUUCUUUCACAUUUGACACAGGAAAUUUGUUCUGAGUAUUUUCUUUUUAGACCGUCUCACUUAGAUCACUUUUAGUGCUGCUUCACCCAGCAAUGCUAAUGUAAGGGCCAACACCAGUAUCCCUGGCAAAAAGAGAUACAAUUAUCAGGCCUCUGGUGAAGAUUUUUAUUUGUAGUGACUUGAUGAAUUCACUAUUUGGAUAAAUAAAGGUCUUAUAUUGCGCUUUGUCUCUCGUGGAUUAUGUAACAAAGUUUAGGAGUGUCAAAAAAACCUUUUAUUUUUAUUUUUUUUAGAUAUCAUUAAAUUGGGUAAAUAGAGAAGUAUAGUGGCAACUCUAAAGACACUUUUUUGAUCACAGCAAGUCUGUGACUCACACAAAAAGCUCCCACUCUGUGCAUCUCUCUUUGAGGAGCAGGGGGAAAAAAAUUGUGUUUUUCAAUGCCAUCGACUCACAAUGGUCAGUGGUUUGCUUUAAGGUUUAAUACUACAAAACCUUUCCACUGACAGCGGAGAAGAGUUUUUUGGGAAAAACUCCUCAUUUUAAUUAGUGUAAGUAAAUUAGUGUAUGUUGAUAUUACUCUCCAACUCAGUUCACUUGCCAUUAAAAUCCAAUUCCACCCACAUUUAUUUCAAGAAGUUACCUCUACAACUCUGUUCUCCUUCAAAGUUACGAAACUCAGCUGCCUCAAAAGCAGCCAUCUGCUUCAUCUCCUUUAUAAACUCACCACAACCCCUUCAUUUUUCUCUGGGAUACAACUUUUUUUUUUUUUUUUUUUACAGAGUCAGGGGUCCAUAUUUUGUCCCCCUGCUCUACUGCAUUUAGAAAGAGAAAUUGGGUUAGGAGUUUUUUGUUACUGGGUAUAUCAAAAGACAGAUAAUAAAAAACAUGUCCGAACACAUUUACAGAAACCUUUUUAUCUAAAACUAUCCAAAUUCUUGUAGUUUGACCACUUACCAAAGAAUUUGAGAUUCAUUUAUUUAUUUUUGUUAAAUAGAUAAAAAGAUGUAGAGCUCCAAAAGCUCUACUGUGAUAUUGUGGUACAACUCUGACAGCAGGAAAAUCCCUUGAGAGGAAGACAGGAGACUUUUGUCGCAUAAGAUUGCAAUGUAUUAAGGAGAUCUAUGAGUAAUAGGGAGAACUUGGAUCUACAAGGUUAAAGAAAGCAGACUGAGGGCCUGAUUUACAGAAGGCUUGAAUGGCUAUCCUCUUUGACCCUUUUGAAAUGAGACAAAAAGACAUUAUCCAUGUUUACAUGUGCAAAAUUUCUUGAUCCAAUUAAAAAUUUGAGGGAUAGAAAAAUGUGAAUGGACUGUUUAUAAGGGCGCAAAAUCAAAUGAUCUGAUCAUGACGUGCGUUUACACGCACCAAGCUCUAUGCGGAUUAGAAGCAUUUGGACAUGUGCAGAGUUUUCUAAUUUCGCUAAAACAAUGGCAGAAGAGGAGUUGUAUUGACGCCUGUGCUGUCAACAAACCAACAAACGCAGUAGUGAUUUACUUCAUCCGAUUCAGGAUUUUCCCCCUGUUAAAUGUUGUUACUAGAUGACCCCCUUGUUUGCUUAUUUUACUGUUCAGUCAAAGGUUGCACUGUGCAUGCAGAUGUGACAUCAUUACGCUGUAUGUAUGCCUUUUUAUGUUAUCGGAGCAGCAGGCACAGCACCUGUGGUUGUGUUUUAUACCAGAUUUUGAUAACAAAACCUUCUGUACUGGCCUCAAUGAAUAAGUCAAAGUCUAAAGAGUGACGACCAACUCAAGCUUUGCUUACUCUCCAUCUACGAUAAGACAGCUGGGCACUCCAGUGCUUUACACCCUCCACUCAGAAUGGACUUGAGCCAGGUUCUGAGAGCGAUUGUAUUGCUCCUAGUGUACAUGGUCAUCAAGUGGGCCCAGCAGCACAUAAUGACCCUGCGUUACAUGAGGAGACUGUAUCCAGCAAGAAAGUUGCAUCAGACACAGACAAAUUGCUCUUACUGACAAGAUGUAAACAUGGCGGGAUCUAACUGCAGAAAUGCGUCACGUUGAUGUAGGGCACACGUGCAGUCUGGUUAGUUUUGCCCCAACAGAGAGUCACGAUCGUAAUAAGUGUUUACAUGGAUGCGUUUCAGAAUAACAAUCGGCAUAAACCACCCCUCUCGUUAGGAAUACGAUUUCUUUCCAAUUGAGCCACAUUGGAUUAGAAUUUUCUGAUCAACAUGUUUACAUGACACAAUUUUAUUCUGAUCAGGUCUUUAUUCUGAUUAUUUGUGCCCAUGUAAACACAGCUAUUGUCUGAAUUAUGGGCAUGUUAAAACAGUUACAUGUAAACUGUGUAAUCAAACUGUGCUGCAGAGCAAACAGUAUCACUGUGCACCAGCAUCUUUGCAGAGACAUCAACAACAGGGGGAGCUGGUGAGAAAAAUAGUAGGUGGGGCUGAAGGUUUAGAAACCAGAGCCCUGUAGAGGGGUGGGGAUUUUUUUUUUUUUUUUUUUUUUUAUUUAUUUAUUUUGGUUUUCACCAAAUGAAGCAUUCUGGUGCAUUCUAGGAAAAGAAUUAAGGAAACAUAUGAUCUUGACCUACAAAGAAAAUGGGGUGGGGAAACUGUAUUUUAAUGUAUUAACAGGGCAUUAUAGUCGACACAUAGCCGACUUACAUUCAAUGUUAUCCUAUGAUAUAGAAACUGACAGUAGCAUACUCCUGUACAUUCACCUGCAUUUCAACAGGUUAGGGUAUAGCAAAGGUGCACACAAAAACAACAACAGAAAAAUAGGAAAGAGCAGACCCACAUUUAUAACUAAUCAGGCUGCAUAUCAAGAAACAAAAAAGGGCCAUACUCUUUGGACAUGCAAUUAGCUAUGGUUUGUGCACAUAUCAUGCUCCUGAGAAUGUCUGCAUAUAUUUUUUCCCCUUCUCUGUGGUCACUUGCUGAGCAGCGACACCUGGUCAAUCCGGACCAAGCUCUUUCUGCUUUAGUUUGUCUUGCGGAGUUCUCCUCUCAAAUGGGACCUGCUUGAUGGACAGCACAGUGUUCUCCAGUAAAUCACUCGGUAGGGGAUUUGUAGGGUAGUUAUUCCCAUGUCUUCUGUCAUUAGCAGAUAAGUGCAGAGUGAGGGGCGAACCGGCUCCCAGUAGAGCAGCUAGCUGCAUCAGACCCAUAUCGUAGCUAUGCGACCGUUUGUGACCAAUCUGGUCAUGAGCAUGGUUACGUCAUUCAAAUUACUCAACUCAACUUAAUUUGUAAAGCACUUUAAAACAACCAUAGCUAAAUAAAGUGCUGUACAUAAAUGCAAAACAAUGCAAACAUAAAAAAUUUGGGACGCUUGGGCACUGGUCCCUGGCGUAGGGUAAGAUAAGCUAAAUUUUUAAUGCAGGACUCUGAUCUGAGCAUGCAUAAGAGCACAGAAAGCUUGGGUGCAGGCCCUUGGCACCCCUAACGUUAAUGCACAACAUGCGUGACACAACAGAUGUUCUGAUUCCGUCCCGACACUGGGUGGAGAGAUCACUAACGGACUGAAAUACACAUUAAAUGCAAUGAUUAAUAUGACAGCACAAUUUUCUUAUUUUGAUAAUAAUUUUCAGGUAGACAGCAGACAUCUCGUUUUGCUCAAACUGGCUCAUGCAACUGAGGAGGGGCUCCGCCCGCAGCACCCUCAUAUACCAGCCAUCCCUGAUCAACAAACAUUAGCAUUCCUUUGAAGCAAAAAUGCCUCUUUUCACCUCUUUUCAGCUCAAAUGAGCUUCAGUGUACAUAACAUAUUUUUUCUUGAAUUGUACAAACUGCUCUUUGCUAACUUGUACCAGGAGUUAUGCUGGCUAUCAUGGUUAAAUAUGUGCUUAAUCUACCUUCUUGAUGCUGAUGUCUUACACAUUUAAAGCCGUGUCUGUAGGAAUCAAAUUGUAGGGGCAUGGUGUUGUUUCAAUACAUCCCCAGAUAACCAGAUCAGGCAUUAAAACCCUUUGAUGCACAACAUAUGCACACCCCCUCUAAUGCGCAACAUGGGUCUAAAAAGACCCGCAUUCAUUUCCAAUGGUAUUUCAUGCUGGCUGUUUUUCUUCGUUCUAUCUUUUGAAAUCAGUUUAUUUUCUGAUUGAAUAGUCCAAGUAUUCUUUAAAUAUCUUGUUUUUGAUCACCACUGAUCAUUAUUUCUAUUUUUCUUUUCAUACUUUAUGAACUAAAAUAGUUUCUAUAUUAUUACAUCAAGUUUACACACAUGGGUCAAAAAUGGUCCUCUUGUCCGCCCCCCCCCCCCCCCCCCCGCAAGGAGGGUCAAACCCAAAAAUGCCAAAAAUUUAUCUUUAUCCACGCUUCUCCACUCUUUCCCUUUUGCUGUUGCUGUUCGUCGUCCCUCUAAGUUGGUGCCCCCCCAACAACCAACAAUCAAAUAAUUUCUAAGAUAAUGUCAGAACAAUUGAAAAACCAUACUUACAUGUAUUGUGAAUGAAAAAACAAAAAAAUGCCCCCCAAAAUUCCCUAUUAGUGUGUAUUGCGUGCCAAGGCGUAUACUAGUAUUCUAGAUGGCAGGUUUGUUUUUUUAUUAUUAUAGAUGCACCUUCGGCAAUUAAUGCUGCUCGAGCAGUAAGGUGCAUCCAGGCAUGGCAUGGCAAAACAUGCGUCUCCAUCAUGCAACAGUGGGUAUUACUUUUCUCUAUCAUUACUGUUUCCAUGGUGACACCAGACGCCAAAAGCAGUGAAAAUUUCCCCAAGUUAGCGAAUGGGAGAGGAUGAGAAAAUAAUCUAUUUUUCGCAUGACUUUGACACUUCGCACUUUCGCCACACUUUGACAUAGAAGUGUAAUUAAAACAUCAAAACAUUGACACCAGACCUGUGAUUUAAAAAGUCUAGACAGCCCAUUGAUAUCUGAUACGGUAUGGCCACAGUAACUGUUCAAGCCAGGGGUGCAAACAAGGAUUUUCUGUUUUUUAGAGUGAUCAUCAUUUCAGAGUGAAGAUAAGUGAACGUGUAAUCCCAAUUUUUAUUUUCUAAAUUGUUGCCACGGCCACAAUUUUCACUCGACACACACAAAUUGUACAUCAAAACGUAGGAAAUCUACCAGCUGGAAAAUGUGGACCUUGAAGCUGUGAGUUGCUCACUUUUCAAAGUGCAAGGUUUUGUUCAGGAGGAGGUACCUGUUGCCCUCCAUCCACUGCCAUUCAAAAAGAACACAAAUGCUCCACAUCCGACUGUUGCUCAUUUUCUCUGAACAACUCGCAUCCUGUCUAAACCGUAAAGCUUAGCAACCUGUCCUUCUAAUAUUUGUUGGAGAUGUUCUACCAGUCUGUGGUGGCCAGUGUACUUUUCUUAGCCGUGGUUUGUUGGGGGAGCAGCAUCAGAGCCAGUUCACAACCCGGUCCUGUUAACACCCAAGUAUGUCCCCAUUGUUAAGAGGCAGCCUGUUUACACCAUGACGGUGAGGAGGUGGACUGAGGAGGCUGCUGAGGCACUGCAGGACUGCUUCGAAUCAACGGACUGGGAUGUACUCUGUGAGCCACACGGGGAGGACAUCAACAGCAUGACAGACUGCAUCACAGAAUAUAUCAGGUUCUGUGAAAACUCCACCAUCCCAAACCGGGCUGUACGCUGCUUCCCCAACAAUAAGCCAUGGAUCAUGGGAUGAAGCACAUCACAGGAUGUAAAGGGAAACAAAGGCAACCAUCAGGCAGCCUGGAGAGAGCCAACAAGCUAAACACUUUCUUUAAUAGGUUCAGCUCACAGCCGUCUGUCUCCCUCAUACAUCCAGUCCCCCACACUCCCUCACCACAUCAACCCCUCCCCCCUCUGUCCCCUGUGGUGAGCAAUCCUGUGCAGCAACCCUCCCCCUGGAGACAUCAGCCCCCCCCCCCCCCACACACACACACACACACACACACACACACACACACACCCCACACACAUACACACACACACACGACCGUGACCACGGGCCAGGUUAGGAGACAGCUGGAGAGGCUCCACCAGAGGAAGGCAGCAGGACCUGAUGGCAUCAGCCCUAAGAUCCUGAGGACCUGCGCCAACCAGCUGUCUGCUAUCAUCCAACACCUCUAAAACCUGAGCCUGAGUCAAGAGAGAGUCCCAGUGCUGUGGAAGAUGUCCUGUCUCGUUCCUGUCCCAAAGAAGUCGACUCCAUCUGACCUCGAUGACUACCGACCAGUUGCUCUCACUUCCCAUCUGAUGAAGGUGCUGGAGAGGUUGGUUUUGUCCCACCUGAGUCCGCAGGUGAAGGAGCUCUUAGACCCUCUACAGUUUGCCUACCAGCCCCAUUUGGGAGUUGACGAUGCUGUCAUCUACCUGCUGCAAUGAGCUCAUCUGCAUCUGGAUGGUGGUGGCAGCACUGUGAGAAUCACCUUCUUUGAUUUCUCCAGUGGUUUCAACACCAUACAGCCACUGCAACUGGGUGAGAAGCUGCGGGUGAUGGGUGUUGACACCUCCAUUGUCUCCUGGAUCACCGACUACCUGACGGACAGGCCACAGUUUGUCCGUCUGGGCAGUGUUCUGUCUGAUGUGGUGGUCAGUGAUGCAGGAGCUCCACAGGGGACUGUGCUGUCCCCCUUCCUUUUCACCUUGUACACCACUGGCUUUCAGUACAACUCCGAGUCAUGCCACCUGCAGAAAUUUUCUGAUGACUCGGCUGUUGUUGGGUGUAUAAGCGGGAGAAGGGAUGGGGAGUACAGAGCAGUGGUGGAUAACUUCGUGGAGUGGGCUGGACGCAAUCACCUGAGGCUGAAUGUCACCAAGACCAGAGAGAUGGUCAUCGACUUUAGGAAGAAGAGGACGGCUUCACAGCCGCUGUGCAUCCUGGGAGAAGAUGUGAAGGAGGUGGAGGUCUACAAGUACCUGGGCGUCUAUGUCAACAACAGACUGGACUGGAAAUCCAACACCGAUGCUGUCUACAAGAAGGGGAUGAGCAGACUCUACUUCCUGAGAAAGCUGAGAUCCUUCAAUGUGUGCAGCAAGAUGUUGGAGAUGUUCUAUCAGUCUGUGGUGGCCAGCGUACUUUUCUUUGCUGUGGUUUGUUGGGGGGCAGCAUCAGAGCCAGUGACACCAACAGACUCAACAAACUAAUCAGGAAGGCUGGCUCUGUGAUUGGCUGCAAACAGGACACUGUGGAGGCUGUGGUGGAGAGGAGGAUACUGAACAAACUACUUCAAGGCAAUGGCAGCCAUCUUGGACACCAUCUUGUUUUUCAUAUUUAAUGUUAUAACCCUCAUGAAAAUAACAGAUAAUGGAAAUGAUAUUUUCAUACAACCAUAUGCACGUAACAACAAUCGGUGUUACAAAUUUCUCACUCUCCCAAUUCUAUAUCUGUAUCUAUAUGCUGUAUCUCAAGAACCGUAAUGGAUACAGAAAUGUACUAGGUACCGAAAUGUCCGCAAUACCCAACUUUAUAUUCAACUUCAAUAUAUGUAUGGGGCUUAAAAUCAGUCAUUUUGAGUUAUAAAGGAAAAACCACAUUUUUGGGGCGACAUCUUGGAUUUUGGGGCCGCCAUCUUGGAAUUUUGUGUGGCUAACGUUAUUUUUGAAAAGAGUGGGGUUUGAAGAGUAUAUGUACCAAAUGUCAUGCUUGUAUAACAAAGUGAACAAUUCGGGCUAUAUUAUGCAUUUGUCUGCUCCACUAAUACAGGAAAUCGUUCCUGCCACAAGCUAAUGCACUAUUUAAUAACUUUCAUCUGUCAGACAGGGACUCACAUCUGUCUGCUGUAUAGUUCUUUUUUUAUAAAAAAACUCCUACCACAUCACAUUACUGAGUACCUUAAAUUGUCUGUAUAUCCAUCACCCCAUCUAUAAUAUUUCGCAUUUCAUAUUUAUUACUCAUUUCAAUAGCCCACGUUCUUCAUAUCCCACUUUUAUCUCUUAGGAUGUUUAGUACAUUAGUCUGUAUUUAUUGUAUAUACUUAGUAUUUUUAGUCUAUAUUGUAUCUAUCUAUCUAUCUAUCUAUCGUAGCUGUAUUCGAGCAGUCACUCACAGUCCAGAUUUUUUUUUUCCCAUACGACAUGUAGUUUGUCAGCAACAAGCCUUUUGACGGCACUCAGACAUAUUAAGAUUCCUAUUCAAAGUGAAUGGAGCUGCUGAAAACAUGGGUUGGUCUCCAUAUUUAGAGCUUGAUUGUGAUGUCAUACUUUAAGGUAGAAAUGUGAUUUGAACUCUGACCUUUAGUUGAGACCUGAACCCUUCAACCUGCAAAAACCACAUUUCAAUUUCUCGUACGGUUUUCUUACAAAGUGAAUUUGUUUCGGCCAGUCCAGUUUUAAGCAGGCAGAGGCUCAGUGAGGCUAAAGGUCCUUUCACUCUGGCACCGUUUUUUUUCGUGCGAUUAUUACGGACGUCAAUAUUUUUUUCCGAACCCGUAUUCUGUCAAUACAAGCAUUCACAUCAGCGACGUUUUCCUGUCCUGCAAUAUUGCGGCAUUUAUUUUUUCGCAUCACGGUCAAUUUUUCUUAAGUUAAGUUAAGACCUGAAGGACAACUUGUAGAGAGUCAUGGCGUCAGAUCUCUCAUGACGAUAGUUUGUGUGCUUUAACAGUUUGCUAAACGUCUUUGUUUUAACUUCCUCUGUGCUAAACAUCCAACCUGUUCAGAUACAACAUACCUUAUGUAUGUUGACUGUCUCAAACUCAAUCGCAUUGCUGUCACAGCACCAUUAGGUCUCAGUUGUUACCUUAUGUGCAUGAAUUAUAGUUUAAUGUGCUUAUCUGGUACUGGCCCCGACUAAAUACAUGCCAUCAUGACAGACAGCCAUCUCAACAUUGCAUCAGGCUUGAUGUUUAUAGUCAGGCACGUCAAAAUUCACCUCUGAAUAUUUUGUAAUUUCACGUCGUAUAUUUGCGUCGGUCCUGGUGUGCAAGGACCUUAAGUCUGUGCCACAGAUGAGCUGCAGGUGCACUGUUACCAUGGAGAUGAUUCCCACUCAGAGCAAGGGGGGCGCGCCCACCUGGUCUUGAUUGACAGCUGUCUGCCAGACAACACAACACAGGAACAGACGGAUUGUCUUGAGUUUCAAGUCAGAUUCAUGACAAAGGCCCUAAAUCAUCAACACUUUGACAUAUCAGCACUAAGGGUGUGGAAAAUAAUCUAAAUUAAUCGAUGCAUCGAUGCGCAUGUGCGCGAUGCAACUGCGUCGGCUCAUUCACUGGGUAUCGAUGCAAUUGACGGGUUAAAUCUAGAUUCAUCUAGAUGCGUUGGUCGGUAUCGGUAAAAUCCGAUGCAAGCGCCGUUUUAUUCAUGUUAAACUUCACCCCAUCUGCUGUUCCCCAGGCGCAAUGAAUGCACCAUCAUUUUUUCGCGUUUUGUAUUGAAUACGGACAGAAGCCGUGAGGGACAUACAAUGCACUACUAGUAAAACAGCACGGACCACGUUCAAAUGAGCAGCAGCGAGGAAGAGUUUAUAUGUAAUGCACCCGCUACGUUUAAAUCAUAUGUUUGGAAACACUACGGAUUUGCAAAGAAAGACGGAAAGCUCGACAAAACGUCCGUCAUUUGCAAAGAAUGCCGCGUUAAGAAGCCGAACAACGGCAGCAUGACAAACAUGCAGACCCACUUAAAAAGAGUACACCACAUCACCGACAAGUCUAACGACACCUCCCCUCCCUUAACAUUGAUUGCACUGUUAAAAGUGUCACUUUAGGUUACUCAUUGAGAGUGUUUUGUGGUUGCUGUUUACUGUACUUUUUACAGCAGUAAUUAUUGUGUAUCGGUAAAAUCCGAUGCAAGCGCCGUUUUAUUCAUGUUAAACUUCACCCCAUCUGCUGUUCCCCAGGUGCAAUGAAUGCACCAUCAUUACUUCGCGUUUUGUAUUGAAUACGGACGGAAGCCGUGAGGGACAUACAAUGCACUACUAGUAAAACAGCACGGACCACGUUCAAGUGAGCAGCAGCGAGGAAGAGUUUAUAUGUAAUGCACCCGCUACGUUUAAAUCAUAUGUUUGGAAACACUACGGAUUUGCAAAGAAAGACGGAAAGCUCGACAAAACGUCCGUCAUUUGCAAAGAAUGCCGCGUUAAGAAGCCGAACAACGGCAGCACGACAAACAUGCAGACCCACUUAAAAAGAGUACACCACAUCACCGACAAGUCUAACGACACCUCCCCUCCCUUAACAUUGAUUGCACUGUUAAAAGUGUCACUUUAGGUUACUCAUUGAGAGUGUUUUGUGGUUGCUGUUUACUGUACUUUUUACAGCAGUAAUUAUUGUGUAAUUGUUUUACUCUUUUAUUAUUGCAGAACUCACUCAAAUCACUGAUUUUCAGUGGCCAGUUAGAAAGUCAACUCUAGCACAUUGGUUUGGCAGACAAUAGUAUGGCCACUGAAUAGUUUAUUUGCACCAUGUUAGGCAGUGCAUUAGUUGUUUAAUAAUGUGUACUGUAAUAUUACCCAACAAGUAUAGAGCACUUGUGUGAUGUAGGGUUGGGAUUGGAAUCCUUUUUUUUUUUUUUUUUUUUUUUUUUUGAUUUUAUUGAUUCAGAUUCCUUAACAGUUGCAGGAGGUCUGUCUAAUCUGUGUAACUGUACAAAAUGGAACCCAAAGGAGCAUAGAAAAAAGACAAAAAGCACUUUUGUUGAAUUUACUGCCAAGUGCCUUUAAGGAAUAAAGCCAAAUCAUUUUUGUAGUACCAUACUGAAUUCCAUCUUUUAUUUUUAUAUCUUUUUUUUCUUUGCUUAUUUGCAUCAUGUUGAAUUGCAUCAUAUCGCAACAAAUUGCAUCAUAUUGUAUCGGAUCGCAUUGAUUUGAAUUAAAUGAUUAUCGUAUCGUAUCGCAUCAUGAAGAGGGUGAAUCGUAUCGCAUCGUAUCGCCAGAAAAUUCCAUGUAUUGUUAAAGUAUCGUAUCACUGGCAGUGCAUCGAGAUGCGUAUCGAAUCGUCCUCAGUGCUGAGAUUCACACCCCUAAUCAGCACCAUAUUUGACACGUCCCCUCGUGACCCCACUCUGAAGACAUGUCCCACCGGCGCCCAUCUUGGAUGUACCCACCAUUCCCAAACAGGAAGUCGCCCUUAACGCAGUAAUGCCCUCAUGUAUCUCCACCCAAAACAUGGCCUAAAUGUGAGUAAAUCAGUGGCAAGCAGCAGUGAAUCAGCAAGCGGGCAGGCACAUAUCAAAAUCUCCCUGGAAAUUUAUAGUUUUACUUAUUCCUUUCUGUUCUGUACACAGCCAUAUCAGUCUGAUAACAUCCCAGCAUUUCUUCAUUUGCACUCAUUAAGCAGCAGAUUAGCAGCAUUACAAAGCUUUAAUCAUUGCUCAUCCCAUUAACAGCCCAAGAAGAUCUUCCUCUCUACAGCCUCUCCUGAAAAUUACCUAAACCAUCUCCACUUAGUUAAAUAUGGCUUGAGUCUUGACCCUAGUCACCAUGACAACAUAAAACAGGGGCUGUCCUGUAGCCAUGGUGAUGAAAGCAGGUGGACACUGAGGUGCGAGGGUCAAAGCAGGAUGGGAACAGGAGGGAGGUUUGAGGGAGUGGAGAGAAAAAACAACCCUGAAAUGAAGAGAGGAAGGGAGGGAGAUCUCUCUUAAAGGAAAGGUUUAUAACAAGGAAAGAAAAAAAGGUAGAAAAGAACAAAGAGAGGAUAGAACAUUGAGAUACGACCUAAAUAUGAACAGUUGCAGGUCACUACAUCAUUCAGACUUCUUCCACUCCUGUAUGUUCGUCUGGCUCACAAGUUGAAAACCAUGCAUACAAAGUUUUAUUCAGACCAAGAUCAUAGCAAACAUUUGCCUGAAAUUAAUAUGCAGAAAAUCAUUGCAAAGACACAAAAAUCUCAGACUCAACCAACCACAGGAUUUUAAGUCACAACGAUGGUGAAAUGAUCAGGUGGUGUAAGACAUUUGACAAUGAUUGUUUUUGACAUGUUUAAAUUCUACCAAAAAUGUCAAUCAGAGUCCGAACAUGAAACCAGUGUUUAAGCAUGCUUGUACCCUUACAGAGUAACCAGAGAGUGUAUACAAUCAUAAUGAUGUGGUCAUUUUUACACUUUUUACAUCUACUCUGGGCAUAAAAUGUUUUUAUUUAUUUAUUUAUUUUUUAUAAUUUUUUAUUAUUAUUAUUAUUAGUUUUUUUAUGUGGGUUAUUGCAAGAUUUCAACUCUUCCUAAAACCCACAUCUUACCAAAUGUAUUUCUUUAAAAUAUCCAGUCAUGAUUUACACCAGCCAAAAAUGGGGACCGUCUCGCUUGUGAGUAACACUGCCAGCAGAUCCAGCCAUCAACAUUUUCUGUUCAGUAUAUAGAACUAAGUAUAACAUUUUGUUUCAACAAGGUCAUGAAGACAAUGUUGAGUGCUGUAUUGCAGCCGUUUUUAUCCAUCAUAAUCAGUUGUCAUGUCAUUCAGCAUUUUUUUUUUUUUUUUAUCUGGACUGUUAUGAUAAUGUGGUUUAUAAUGACCAGUAAUAAGACAAAUGCACUUGUAAGAUUUAAGUACUGCAGUGCAUUGACUUAUGACUUGCAAGACACAGAUGCACAGGAACUCCAACAUUGAAACAGCACUGCACAAGGUCUUUGCACAAAGAGUGUGCAGGUUUUCAGAUGUAUCUUUUGGAUGUGGUGGAAAAACAAAAAAGAAAAAAACAAACAAACAAACAAACAAAAAACAUGCACAUAAGCACCUGGAUCUGCAGCUAUAUUCAGAAAAGAUUGUGGUUGCCCAUAUUUUCUCACUAAAUACUCAGAAGUAUAAUGGACACAGAAAAUUAAACUUGUUUCAAAGAAAUAAGAUACGGUAAGAGAUAAGCGGGACAUUUCUCAGACCCCCAAUUUGAAGAUGCUUGCAGUCUGAGACCACACCACCAAAUGCAUUGCAUGGCAAAGGAACACAUUUUUUGGUGUGUAACUUGGGCUUCUGUUACCCUUAGCAGAACCUGACUGACACAACAACACAAGAGACUUGGAAAAAAAUGGAAAGACAGUGCCAGAAUUGUAGUCUUAAAACUGCAGCCUCUGGUUCUGCAGAGACAUAUUCAUGAAUCCAAUGAAUUAUCUGCUACUAACAGUCAGUUAUGUUGCCCUUUUCUUAACUGCUUGUUUGAGUUCGAACUUCCAAAUACUUCAAGCUGGUGACCAAGUCUUGGAAACAGUGAAUUUGUUAAGGAUUUACAGGAUUUAUGUUGAGUACAGUCCUUUAGCAUGGAUUUUGCCAUUUUAAAGCUUGGGUUCACCGCUCCACAGGUAAAUACUAGCAACUUUUUGCAGGCAGUAUUGCUACAUUUUGGGCUUGAGGCCAAUCUAAAUGUUGCGUUCAAGAAAAGACAGACAACAAGAAGAUCAUUUCCUUUCUCACAGUGAGAGGUGUCAGUGGGUUCAGUCUCCAGUGUCCAGUGUGGUCCAGGUCUGGCUAUGAAAAGCUCACCUGCUGUCUACCUUGUUUUAUGUCCAAUCAUAAGUCUGACACAUUUUCUAUGACUAUGAGCUCUCUGCAGUCUUUGGUACUUAUUUUUUUAUUUCAUUUUUUUUUCCUUUUUCCCAGCAACCAGCUUUUUCUGCUCUUAUGUGCAGCAGUAAAAUGGUGAGGAUGAGUAGAAAAAAAGCUGUGGCCAGUUCAGUGGGAUAAAAAUAAGAAAACUCCUGCUGAGAGUAAGACGCCUGUCUGUAACCUUACCGUCUCUGACGCCCACUUUUCUUCUGGCUUUGAGCCACAGUUGUUUCUGCAUUUCUUUGAACAAUCUUUUCUGACGCUCUUCAGAGCUGUGUUGAGGUCUUUCAAGGAAAACAGAGAGAGUGUUGAUAAUAAGUUGACUAACAACAACUCCUUUAAUUCUUCUCAAUCUAUGCAGUGGCAGUAAUCUGAUCAUGUUGGACAGAUCUGCUGAUUGAGAUAGACCAAAACUGUUGUUGUUGGGUAAUGUCAACAAACAUGAGUGUACAGACAGCAGUUCGUUUGAAAACCAGCCCGUUUGUAAUGUUGGGUUUACAAUGAUUCUGCCAUCAGCAUCCUGAAAUGACCCCUGUGCUGUACAGGUAUCCCAUAGUUUCAAUUAGUCUCAACCAGCCUCACUCGUCAAAUUCACACUGUUGUUCUCCACCAGCUUUGUGGUCAGUACUCCACCAGUUUUGUGGUCAGUCCUCCACCAGCUUUGUGGUCAGUCCUCUGUCUGUCAUGAUCCAGAUUUCCUGCUUAGUCCAACCCUGGUUCGAAAAGCCAAUCCUGUUGCCUUCCAAUAGCGUUUACAAAGCCAACUUGAAAAAUACUGUUGUCUCAAAAAAAACCUUUAUCGAAGUUUUGAAAACAUUAACCGAGAAAAGUUCAAGUAGACAACUGCAAAUGCAAAAAAAGUUAAAUGCAAGCACACAGUAAGAGUGAAAUAAAAAAGAGACAUGAAAACAGCCAGACAGGCAGCAAAAUACAAUAAAGUUGACUUCCUGGACAUUGUUACUAGUAUAAUAAGCUGAGGACUAAAAAGAAAAAGCAGUAAAAACAGUGUUAAGACAGGAUUUGAAAAGAGAGUCAGUCUUCUGACUGAACACCAAGAGAUUCAGAGUUGUGGUAUCCACUUUGCAAAUGCUUAAUCACACAGCCGCAAUGAAGGUAUGGUUAGCAUGCUAACUUUACGAGGUCCUUUGGGGCAUUAUGGCUGUAAGAGACUCAAUAUCAAGCAGCAACCUCAGUGCUGAAAAAGCUGAUGCCUGAGUGGAAAAAAAAAAAAAACUGUAUUUCCUUGACUGUCCACUGGAGGCUGUCUGCAAAUGCUAAGGAACCUCUAUCAGGUCCUGUGUUCAAACAACAAAAAGUGCUUUUGAUAUGGAUUGGGUUUUUAUUAAUUGAUCUUUAUUUUGUAUCAUUGAAGCUAAAUUAAAUGUCAGGGCUUAUGCAUAAUGUUGUGCAUUAUGUGGUGAACUGGCAGGUGUGUAUGUUGCAGCUUUUUUUCCAGGAGGUUACUGGGGUCCGUAUGACAUCAUUUUACUUACUGUGGUCUGUAGGGAUUGAAUCACCGUGGCCACCUGUAGCAUCAAGAACCAUACUCUCCUCUACCCUUGAAGGGGUGUCUGCUCACCAUAGCCAAACAGCAGAACAGCCACAAACUGCUCCAGCCCUGCACACUUAGCUCCAGUUUUGCCAUUUUUCUUUGGCUGUGAUGAGUCGUAUCUUCACACUCUACUGCACAGAACUGCACUGUGCAUUCUCACCCUGACUGAGCUAAAUUUUCUCCACAUAUACAGUAUGAGGGGCUAGAAUGACAUAUACUCAUGUAGUGUGCUAGAUGUGACAUAACUGUCAAGGCUCAUACCCAACCUAAUUCCUGGAGUGAGCUGGCAAGAAGUAGAGCAUGUACAAAGUUGAAAGAAAAAAAAAAAAAAACUUUAAAUACGAAAUAGUUCUGCUGGAGCCUGAGACAGGCCAAUGUAACUGCCAUAUAGUCAAAUGCUAUUUGUUGUAAAUUCUCCUAUGCUGUCACAAUGGUAGCAUCUGCUGGUCAAAAUAAAUGGUACACCUCUGGGUGUGAUCAUUGCUGACAUGUGUGUUGGUAACACAGGUGUGCCUGCAGUGAGUUUUAAAAGCCCAGCUCACUCAAGCAGAGGUCUUUCUGAUCUCCAUCCACACCCAGGCCAUGUGUAAUUGAGCAUGUAAGACUGUUUAUCUUAAUUUGACUGUCUUUUCUUUACCAUUUUCAUGUUGAUGUUGAGUUCUGCAUUCACUGUUUCAAGCUUAUGUUAUCUUAUUAUUUCAUUUGUUCUGACUGAUGCAGAAAAGCAUGGUUUGGAUGGAAAUAAAUCUUCAAACUAGCUUCAGUUGUCAUCUGCUCUUUAAUUGGAGACACUUAGGUGGUCAGCGUUAAACGGAACAAAACAAGUUUUAAUGCUAUGGUUAGGCUGUAUGUACAAAUACAUGUUUGCUUGCAGUGAGGUCCACUUGCAUAGACAUGCACAUUAAGCUCCAAAUUGAUGCAUGUUGGCUUAUCUUAAAGUCCUUCUCCAAUCAUUUUUUUUUCUAUUUAAAGUGUUCUUAGUGGUCUUUAAAUUGUGAUUAAGUUUUUAACCAAAAUCAUGUUACCUGUGUCAUUUUCAAGGGCUUUUCUUCUGUAGAGCUCUUGUAGCUCAUUAUAGCAAAAAGCCUCUGAGUUGUGGGCAGAGACAGCGCUGUUCUGCACACUCCUCUUCAGGCUAGCUUGUUGCCUAACAUUGCCGGAGUCGUAGAAGUGGCAGGUAACAUAGGAGCCAUUUAGCUCUCUGACACAAAUGUCUUUAGGGGCAUGAUGAAAGCUAAUAUCAUAUUUAGCUUUCUUAUGAGCAUUGCAAUCCGCACACGCUUGUACCGUGAUCGUCUUAUACUUUUCUGAGCGUGGCCUGCAUAGCGGAGCUCCAGGGACGGAGCUUGGAUUUGCUAUGCAUAAAAUCUCACUGAAUCUGAACCUGCCAUUUGGGUCUGCAAGAGAUUCACAGAGAUUUCAAUGCAGAAAUUCUCAGAAAUUAAAUUUUGCACUUACUUUUUUCUCAUGAGAUGUCCUGUAGCAUCAGAAAAAUGCCAUAUGAACAUGUAGACAACAAGAAAAACAUGAUUUUUACCAGAGUGGGUCUUUAAUGUAUGCAAGUAGCACUAUGCACAUGGAUGCAGUUUGUGUAGAAGCGCAGUUUGUGGUAUAUUUAACUCUUUGUUCAUGUUUUAAAAAUGGAGACUGUCUUUAGCCUCAUCAGCACAGUUUGGAGUUUGAGGGAAGCAAAUGUUGUGGUUUUUUUUUUUUUUUUUCUGUGAAUCAGGCCCAAAUAUUUUGAUUUUAAUCUGUCUGCACCAAAUAACAUUAUUCCAAUAAGGAAAAGUCCCAUUUUAUUUCCAUAAGCACAUUAUUUUGUUAUUUGUUAAAAUAUGACAGUUUGAGAUCAGCUUUAAUUCUUGAUAGGUGAAUUGUACAUUGGUUGUAUCUUACACACACACACACACACUUACGGACACACAGGCGUUCCCCACCUCUUCCCGUCAGUCAUUGUGUUUGCUUCUGGCUUUCUGUCAUGGUGGAGUGUCAAUGAAGACAGAGAGAGGUGCCAAUGCUGAAGAGGAUCCCAGAAACACAAGCUGAUCUUAUCGAAAUAGCACACACACACACACACACACACACACACACAGAGUCCCUUGCCUCUCGUAACAGAUAAUAAACAAAGUGCAGACUAUAAUUGCUCUCCAAGAUCUGUGGCGCCUGUUGCAGUGCAGAUGUGUGUGUGCGCAUGCUCCUGAGUAUCAUGGUGUUAUUGAUGGUCAUUAAAAUUAAUGAUAAGGGGCUGAUGUCACCAAGUAAAGGGGGUUCGUGCUUGCUUUCAUGCUUGCGUAUAUGUGUGUGUUAGAGAGGUUGCUGGAAGAUCAUGUUUGUGCUCGAAGUCGCUCAGCACAUGGGGUUUGUGGGUGUGAAUUCUUGCAUGCUGGUGCACAUGUGUGUUUCCAUGGAUCAGGGUAAGAUUUAUGGGUCACUAAGAGGUAGAGAGGAUGUGUGAUAAAGAGAGAGAGUGAGGGGGAUUUCAGACACCGGAGCAUAAAUCACUACCUGACUCUUCUCUCAAAUGGACACUUCUGUCUGUUGGUUACUUAGAUGGGAAGAGGAAGGAGGAGAGAGGAAACAAGGGGGCAGACAAGGAGGGUGUGAGGAUGAAGAUGCAGUCAUGAAACAAGAGUGCACAUGGAGGAAGGGUGGUUGCAUUUUCUAGAUUUGAUGAAUAUUUACACAGCUGUAUUUUCUGCAACAAUAAAUAAUAAGAGGAAGAUGAUGGGAAUGAGUGCAGAUGCAAGAAGUGGAGGGGGACAAGAAUAAAAAGGAAGAAAACAGUAGGUACUCACAGACUAAAUGACACUUAGUGCGGGCCAAAGCUUUUCUAAAGCUGAAUGUUUACUUGCCAUGCCUCAGCCUGUAAAAUGGUUUGCUUUAUGAUUUGAUUUCCAAACAGAAUAGCUGUUAAGUGCUCCAAUUUCAGACUGCAGCACCAGCACUUGAAUGCAGCAUCAUAGAAAAAAAAAUCACAGCUCAAAUAUAUUUUAAAACACAUCAAACUCUGAAAAGCAGUCAAAAAAUACAAGAUUCAUUCCUGUUCACAUUGCAAACAAUAUUAAUUUAACUGCAGGUAUUUCUCUGUAUAAGCGCGGCAGGAGCUGUGCUAAACAUGAUGAAUAUAUUGACAUGUAAGUAUGUAACAUGAGUAUUAUGUAAAUAAAUAAGUGUGCAGAGCCUGUAAAUAUGUACAUCUCACUGUGAAUAAGUUGAUUAUGAUGCAUCUGAAGUUAGCAUCAUUAGCUGGAGUAAAUUUACAUAGCCAACGUAUGGAAGGCCCUCUUCUGCAUUGUGUUUUGUGAACUCAAUUAUCCACACUCAAACAAAGUGUGUUUGUCAUGAAGCUUUAACCUUAAUGACAGAACCACAUGGUGUGGCAGCCUAAAGAGAAGUAUGUUUCUGUAUGUGUGCAUCUGCAAGUACAGAAAUGAUUUCCCUAAGCUGAGGCCGAGGCUGACUCCAUAGAGAUGUCAUACUGACAUAUAUAAGACAGAGGGAGUAUUUCCAACCCUGAAACCUGGACCUUGAAGUGCACUAAAUUAUGCAAAGUGCAUGCAUUUUGCACAUGCACAAACUUUUGUAGGCUCAGAGAAUAGAUGUUGUUCACUCAGAAAAAUAAAUCAUGGCAUAGUUUAUUUUUAAGUAUUUACAUUUAUUUGAUUUUAUUGAUAUUUUCCAUUUUUUUUUUAAUUAGAAUUAAUUUAACCUUCCUAAAAUUGGCAAAAAUCUGUUAUUCUGAAAACAAUUCUAUUUAAUCAUUUAAAAUGUAUGAAUAUAGUUUAAAUAUGAUGAGCUGUGGCUCAACCAAGAUUCAUUAAAUAAAAUUGAUGACAAAAACUAAUUGAAGUUAUCAAUGAUCAAUAUGUAAAUCUUCAUUAUUUAGUCAAAAGAUAUUGGGUAUUAUUACAUCAAUCUAACUUAAAUGUUUCAUUUACAUUUGACCGACAAAUAUGCAGCACAUAAAGUUUAUUGGCCUGUUUAUGUUAAAUCUGAGUAAUUCAAAUAGAUGGAAAUUUUGUAUGCAGUGAGCUGUAAAUAUUUCUGUGAGUGUAGGAGCUCUCUUGAAUAGACAGCCUUUUCUCUUGGCUAGUGUUAAUUUUAGGACCAGUUUUGGCACAUGCUGUCAAUUAUAACCCGCAGUGUGAUUCUGUUCUGAAAGCUCCCUGCCCCUCCAGGAGUGUACGUGGAAUGACAAAGCCUGGGACAGGAAGAGCACACCUUCCCUGGAGCUCUCUGAGAGCAGGCAUCAGUGACAACUCAUAAGACCCUGAUAAAAUCAGACUUAGCUCGAAAAGGAGGACCUGAGAUGGAGCAGGGAGAGCAUUGACCUCCAAAGUAUGGAACAGAAAUGACAUGAAAGUGUAAGACAUUGGUUAUAUGGUAUAAAAAGGAGGAGUUGGGAUGAAUAGCAGUUUACAGAGGAAGCAGGAAGAAUAGGCUGGCUAGAGCAGUGUAAACAAAACAACCAUUUUCAAUGCUGAAAUCGGGGACAUUUCCGGGGACAGUUUCUGGCUGGGGACAGCACAGGCAAAUUGGGGACUGUCCCCAGAAAUCGGGGACGUCUGGUCACUGUAAUCUAAAUUGUCAGUCAAAACAAAAAUAAAGUAUUCCUCUUAAAGACUGAGUAAGUUUAGAGGCACACAAUUUUUUUCACUCGUCUGCAACAGUUGUUGCAGUCAGAGUCCGUCACUGCCUUCAUGCACAUUACAAAAGUGCUUGCUUGACUGUGGAGGUUGUGUUCUGCCUUUGCAAGAAUGAAUCUUGCAACAUGGGUUGUCUGUGUAAAAACUUCCCCAGACAUUAAUUGAUGUAUGUUCAGGACAUUUGUGCAAAUGAAAAUGAGGCAUCAGAAUGCUCCUCAUCAUUUCGGACGAGCUGGUUUUGCAAACUAUGUAUCAGAGGAUCCAUUGCCCUGAAAGAGCCUUUUAUAAAGGGACUAGAUUUUCUGUGGACUUUAAAAUUUUCUUUUGACUUUUCAACCUAAAAAAGCUUUUUCCCUCUUUCACUUCCCAUCCUGCACAAUCUGUCAGCUGAUGGGAAAAAACUCACACACACACAGAGCAAAACACGCCUCCUACUGAUUUCUGAAACACUUGACUUAACCUCUGGGACAUGGUGGUCUACUAAGCACGCACACACAGACACACACUCACUCUCUCUCUCUCUCUCUCUCUCUCUCUCUCUCUCUCUCUCUCUCUCUCUCUCUUUCUUUCACACACACAGGCAUACAUGUUCAGGAAGAAGGACUUAACCUCGGAGAGUUGAUCCUUGCUAAAAUCUCCUGAAAUAUGAAUAACCUGGUGGCAGGAGGAGAGGAGGUUGAAGUGGAGCAGACACAAAGAGGGGAAGGAUGGAGGGAGCAGGUCGGAGUUGGUGAAUAUUAGAUGAAGAGACAGGGUCAUGCAAAGGUCUUGGACAUGUGCUGUGUCAGAGCCGCUACUUGCAGGGAGAAAUACUGCGGCAAAACCCACUCUGCUGAAAAACAUCCUACAAAAAUCAAGACCUGUAACCCUGCAGAGAUGUUCCCACCUGCUCUCAGCAGCUGGAUUUCAAUAUCUGUACAAUCCACUUCCUUUACUGAUAAUUCAAAUGUUCUACUCCAGCUUUAAUUCUUAAAUUUUUCAGCUAGUUUACAAACUAAAGGGAUAGACAGUUUUAAAACCUUUUUUUUAUGUUUGUGUCAAACAUUACUUAAUUAGACUUCUCAUUUAACUGUAUUAAGUGUAAACCCUGGAAGAUUAGUGACCUUUUUGUAGAAGCUAAAGAAGAAGAACUUUACUGAUCGCUGAAAUUCAAUAAUAAAGGGAUCCUACCAAAUAAUGAAGAAUAAAAAAAUAUAGAUAGAUAGCUAGAUAGAUAUACUUUAUUGAAAAUAUUUAAAGUGAUAUAGUUUUAAAAAAAAAUAGAUAUGAUUUAUAUUUGCUGAAUCAACUGAAAAAAACAAUUUAAUCUGAGGUAUUUUCUCAUAGAAUAACAUGCCCAAAAUAUUGUUUAGCACUGUUUCUUUUUUUUUAAAAUUUUUAACCCUUUGAUGCGCAACAUGGGUCAAAAAAGACCCGGCUGAGUUUAAAUUUUAUAUAUCUUUUCAAAAAAUUAAUUCCAUCAGUCGGUACUCAAGGAAUUCCUCAAUUUACUUGUUUUUGACGACCCUACAUCCUUAUGUUAAUUUUUCUUUUUUUACUUUUAGAAUAAAAAACGUUUUUGUAUCACUACCCCUCUAAUGCACAACAUGGGUCUAAAAUGACCCGUAUCCAUUUUCAAUGUUAUUUCAUGUAUGGCUGAGUGUUUCCAUGGUAUAUCUUUGAAAUAAAUUAAUUUUAUCAUUAACUAUUCCAAGUAUGCAGUAAAGAUCUUGUUUUAGUUGAGCACAAAUAAUCAUUUUUAUUUUUCCUUUCUUACGUUAUGAGGAAGCACAGAUUUUGUAUUUCUACAUCAAGUUUACAUACAUGGGUCAGAAACGACCCACAUACAGUGACUGUAGCAUUUAGCAUGAAAAGACCAUCUAAUACAUGGAAGUAUGGUUUUUCAAUUGUUCUGACAUUAUCUUAGAAAUUAUUUGAUGACAGUUGUGAAAUAUAAUUGUACAUAGAUUUGAUUUGAUUAGGUUUAGGUUACCUUGAGAGUGAGAACAUUACAUGUUGGAAAGUUACACAGUUACAGGUAAAACAGCUAGCGUUAUUUCAGCUAGCUAUAAUCAGACGCAUGUGUAUGUGACAAAAUGACAAAUAAACAUGUUGCUGAUACAAAAUACAAAAGUGUUUGGCCCAUAGACUGUAUAAAGAAUGGACAGCGUCUGCCUCCUUGCCGGGUGAAGCCGAGAACAGCACCCCCUGUUUACAGGCUGCAGUAUAGGUCAUAAAUCCCGCCUCCGCCAGCAAACCUUAUGGAGCUGUGGACAAACUUUAGAAAUUUAUUACACAGAACAUAAUUUUUUUUCUCCCCCCUGCUUGUGAUGUUGACAUGUAGUUACAGUAAGACUGGUUUGUGCUCAAGUCCUCUUUUUUCUGUACAGCUCUGUUUUUAAAAGUUAUUAGGGGGUUCAUGUUUUCUAUGAUUGACACCUGCCAUAGACUGUACAUAGAAUGGACAGAGUCUGCCUCCUCGCUGGGUGUAGCCACUCCGAGAACAGCACCCUCUGUUGAUGGGCUGCAGUAUAGGUCAUAAAUCCCGCCUCCGCCAGCAAAGAUUAUGGAGCUGUGGACAAACUUAAAAAAUGUAUUACACAGAACAUAAAUUUUUAUCGCUCAUGAUUGUGAUGUUGACAUGUAGUUACUGUCAGACUGGUUUGUGCCCAAGUCCUCUUUUUUCUGUGAAGCUCCAUUUUUAAAAGUUAUUAGGGGUUCAUGUUUGCUAUGAUUGACACCUGAUACAGCCUAUGGGCGUUCAGGGAUUGCGUAGCUCUCCCAGGGGAUAUGCUGUUUGAGCCGAGUGUCAUCGCAGCGACUCUCUUCAACUGUGCGGCCAAAUGCGCGCAUUGCUACUGCGCAGCGCUGGUUUCAGGAAAUGAAGAAAAAUCCUGGAAAUAUCGAGAGCUAUUUGGCUUCAAAUCUGUAUACAGGCAGUAGGCGGAACGAAGUUGUCCAUAGUAUAUACAGUCUAUGGAUACAGCCUAUGGGCGUUCAGGGAUUGCGUAGCUCUCCCGGGGUGAUACGCUGUUUGAGCCGAGCGUCAUCACAGCGACUCUCAGCGACUGCGCGGCCGAAUGCACGCUUCGCAACUGCGCAGCUCUGGUUUCGGAAAUGUAGAAAAGUCCCGGAAAUACCGAGAGCUUUUUGGCUCCAAAUCCGUAUACAGGCGGUAGGCGGAACCAAGUUGUCCAUAGUAUAUACAGUCUAUGGUUUGGCCCCACUCACUGCUAAUUUCAUUACUUGAAACAAAUUAUUAUUAAAGUGUUAGGUAAUACAAUAUUAAAUCACACUUGGAUGAAUGGGUCGUUUUUGACCCAUGUGUGUAAACUUGAUGUAAUAAUAUAGAAACUAUAUUAUUUCAUAAAGUAUGAAAAGAAAAAUAGAAAUAAUGAUCAGUGGUGAUCAAAAACAAGAUAUUUAAAGAAUACUUGGAAUAUUCAAUCAGAAAAUAAACUUAUUUCAAAAGAUAGAACAAAGAAAAACUCAGCCAGCAUGAAAUACCAUUGGAAAUGAAUGCGGGUCUUUUUAGACCCAUGUUGCGCAUUAGAGGGGGUGUGGAUAUGUUGCGCAUCAAAGGGUUAAGAUCUGAAUAAUUGUAUACCUUUUCUUUUUCCAUGCACGAAAUGCAAAGAAAUGCUUUCAUCUGCAAACAAAUACAGUCUGACACUUUCCUUUUUGCAUCUCUCUUGAUGAUUCUUAAAGGACUGUUGAAUUUAGGAUGAAAAACUUCCUAAACUUCACUGUUAUUAUUGUUUUGUUUUUUUUCUAUUUUGAAAGGAACUCCUCUAUGGAGUACAAAACACAUAAAAGAUGAAGUCUUGCUGUUGCAUAUGCAUUCUCUAAGCUUCUAAUUCAACAGUGAUGUUUGUUGGCUGUCUUGACAAAACAUGUGCACAGUGUGCAUAUGUACAGUACAAUGUACAGUAAAUAUAAAGUUGUCUAAAGUUAGCCUUUUUGAUGCUCUGUACCUUACCACAUUAAUAGCCCAAUCUGUUCCAUCUCUGCUGUUUGCAAAACUUUGAUCAAAUGCAGUGGCAGCCGGUAUAUGAGGGUGUUGUGGGCAGAGCAAAAAAAGAUGUUGGCUGUAUACCUGAGAAUUAUUAUCAAAAUAAGGAAAUCGUGCUAUUAUAUCAAUCAUAACAUUAAAUCUGUAUUUCAGUCUGUUAGUGAUCUCUACAUCCAGUGUGUGGGCGAAAUCGGCACGUCUGUUGUCUCACGCAUGCUCAGAUCACAGCUGUGCAUUAACAUUAGGGGUGCCACAGGCCAGUGCCCAAGCUUUCUGUGCUGUCACAUGUUCUCAGAUCACGGAUCUGCAUUAAAUAGUUAUCUUAUCCUAGCCACACACAAGUGUCCCUAUUUUGAAUGACAUAACCACGUUCAUGAGCAGAUUGGUCACAAACGGAUGCAUAGAUACAAUAUGCGUCUGACAUACAUAGCUAGCUGCUCUACUGGGGUCCAGUCUGCCCCUCACUCUACACUUGACUGCGAAUGACAGAAGAUGUAGGAAUGGCUAUCGCAAACCCCCCACUGAGUGAUUUACUGAAUCUACUGGAUGUCGAAGCUCAGCAAGUGACUACUGAGAAGGGCAAACAAUAUACACAAACAUUUUCAAGAGCAUGUUAUGGGCGCAAAGCAUGGCUAACUGGUGGUCCAAAGAGUAGGGCCCUUUUUUGUUUCUCAUGUAUGCUUUUCAUUUGGCGUGCAUGGAUCCUGCAUGGAUUGCUACCAGGGUGACUGACCUAAAGCAUCUGUCAGAGAAAAUUAAUUAAAAUUUCAGCUACUGAAACAGUUAAUCAACAAAAAUCUGUUUGUAGAAAAGUAAAGUAAAUAAAGAUAAAAACCUAAUAUAAACCAUAAAUUUAUUAUAGUGAGACACUACAUAAAAGCCAGACUAAAAAGAAAGCUAACCCAAUAUUCAUGCCACAAUGUUCGAAAUCAAUAACUUUUAAGGUAGAGUGAAGAUGUCCUGGAAAAGUCCUAGAAUAAUUGAUUGGGAACCUUGUAUUUGUUCUCCCAGUUUCAGUUUAGUUCCACUGAAAUAUCAAAUGUAAUAGAAUUGUUAUGUAUUUAAGGCAAAUGUUUGUGUUGUUUUCCUUUGGCUGAUCAUAUUGAUAUGCAGCCGGAUUUGUUAUAAAUGUGGGUCUGCGCUCUCCUAUUUUUCUGCUGUUGUCUUUGUGUGCUCCUUUGCUGUAGCCUAACCUGUUGAGAUGCAGGUGAAUGUACACAAGUACACGACCGUCAGUUUCCAUAUCAUAGGAUUUCAUUGAUUGUAGCUAGGCUGUGUGUUGGCUAUAAUGCCCUGUUAAUAAGUUGAAAUACAGGUUCCCCACCCCAUUUGUCUUUGUAGGUCAAGACAAUGGGCUCUAUUUUCGUGCCUCGCCAGAGACGUGCCGCAGGCACGGCGUAAGUCAGGUCCGCCGCACUGACAAGGCGUUCCCAAGCACAAUUUGGUAUUUUGGUAAGCAGCGCAGCCCGGCGUUAGUAUCCCCCCUCCCUAACUCAGCUCCUCCCAGCGGCGUAAGUCGUAGUGAGGGAGGAGAGAGGGCGUGGAGUGGGUUUAACACAGCCGAGACCUGUUUUCACCAAUCAGAUCAGCUUCUCUCCUUGCCUUGCUGCGUAUUACCAUUUUCGUGAAGUAGUCAAAGAGAUCAAGAGAUGUCUGAAGACAGUAAUGCCACAAGAUGGCGACAGAAGGCAGCUCCUCAACAAGUGUCACUGUAAGCGCUGCACUGGGCAUCCUCCACACUCUCAUAUGAGCACAGAUGGAUUUGGUGUGUGUAAUGUUGGACCCACUGGUAAGACAAACACCCUUUUCCACAAAUAAAGACACUCACAUAAAGUUGCAUAUAUCAAACCUCACGUGACAAAGGUGGGUUGUGCGCACAGAUCACAACAUUAACUCCAAAAAUGGCAUUAAAAUCAGAACCAUCUGUGCGUAAAUGACGCAUCGCGCUCCGUGGCCUGGCUCACAAAACUGAAUAUUAUAAUAUUGGUAUGUCGGCUUAAAGUAGAUAACGCAUCUGAGCACUGAAACAAAUCAUCUGUUCAGCCGCCGCAGCAGCAGGACGGAGAGAGGACACGGAGACGUGUCCAGGUUGAGCUGUUCGAGAAAUAAGAGGAAGAGGAAGAAAGAAAAGGAGGGAGACGAAUUACUAACUAGUUAACGUCAUCAUGUGUGUCUAUUUGAUUAAUGCGGUUUCAGCUGUGUUGAUUCGGUCAGGUUGUGUGUCCAAACGCGUGCCAAACGCGCUCAUCAGAUCAGAUAUAGAUCAGAAUAUAUCUUUAUUGAUCUAAAUGUAUGUGCUGACUCAGAUUAAUAGUUGUUGAUGAUUAUUUAUUGCACUGAAAUGUGCCUGACACUGUGGAAACCUGCCAGUGAGGCAUCAGUGACGUAUGCCGAUACGCCGCCGGUCUACCAAAAUACUACUAGACCAGCUGCGCUCUGCCUGCGCUGAAGCUGACCAGGUUUGAAUCGGCGAGCUUUCAGCGCACUUUACACGCCGGUGGCGAGCACGAAAAUGUCACUGCACCCGCUGAUUCUGUCGACACUUCCCCCUGCCACGCCACCACGCCCAGCUUGGCUGAUCUCGGUUCGCCUCUGUGCGCCUCAGUCCACGAAAAUCCCAAACUGGCUGUACGCCGGGCUGCGCCAGACGAAAAUACAACUGCGCGGGGCUCGCCGCCCUCCGUCGCCUCACCGGCGUACACGAAAAUAGAGCCCCAUAUGUUUCCUUAAUAAUUUUCUCAGAAUACACCAGAAUGCUUCAUUUACAUGUGAAAACCAAAAAAAAAAAAAAAAAAAACCUUUACAGGGCUAUGGUUUCCAAACCUUCAGUCCCUGCACGCUUCAAUAACACGAGAUGGAAAUUGCAUUAAUGAAAUAACUUUUAUAACAUGGAUCUGGGUAUUUCUGUCAUGGGUUUCUCAUCUUUUUUUGUACAUGUUAUUGCAAAUCUCCUUUAAACUUAGUAAUAUACCAAAAAAUCUUAAAGGAACAUUGAGCUCUGUAAAAUUUAUGGGGAGUCACUGAUUGCGGCAACCAUCUGACGUCGCAACAUAAACAACAGUGGCAAAGAGGUGCGUUUAUUUUUAAAACAUCCUUAAAAUGUGUCUCCUUGUUUGGCCUAAGUCUAAAUUUAUGACUUUUUUUUUUUGUGAAGAACUUUCCGUUUGCAUUGAUUCUGGCGCCCUCCACUGGACAAAGUGAAACCUCUCAAGUCAUUGCCUCUAUAUGGGUAAAGCUGUAUUCACACAGGAUAAGUUCUACCUUAGAACACCUGCUCAUUUGAGAUAAUUGUGGAGGAUAAAAGUUUCAAAAGGAAGCAGUGCAUCUUGUGCUCCAACUUAUGGAGGAUAAAAAGUUCACAUUUGAUCAGUUCAUUUUGCUCACAUCACAAAAACAGAUGUUUCAGGGUCUUCACCGGAGCAUUUGGACUAAAUGUACAAAUACCCUUAAAUGAUUGUGGAGGAUGUCAGUAUAUAAUCGACCAUUUCUACAAUUCCUAAAGUACAAUUUCAGGGCAAGUUACCCACAAUACACAGAGGUCCUCUGAUAGUCAUUUUGUUUAAGAAAAGAUUACCACAUUUUUCCCCUCUCCUUUUUGGGUUAAAAUGACUGCAUAGGGGAUCAGUAAAAAAAUGUUACCAUAACAACAAUGAAAAUUAAUGUCUUAUUCCUGCCACUCAUGAGAUUAUCAGGGUAUGUGGUAUAAUAACAAAUAAAACAUCCAGUAAAUGUAAGGAAGCCCCAUGUAUCUGAAAACAAUAAUGAAAAUUCUGGUUUGAAUGGGUCUCUCUCUACAAUCCUUACAUCAAGAAAUCAAAUGUCAUUUGUGGGAUUACAGUGUUAGAAAAUAGAAGAAAAAAACUUUUGUUGGGCUCAAAAUAACCGUUUCAUUGUGCAGUAGCUUUUAACCAUUUUAUAAAGUUAUUUUAUUUAACUUUGGACGAUAUGUCCUUAAGUUUUAAAUUCAUGUGCUUUGUGGAAGUUCAUCAUCUUCAUUUCAUCAACCUUAAGCAGGCUGUAAACUGCUGGGUGUUAUGUUCACAUCAGAACAAGGUAGAUAUCGAGCAGUGCCUUUGUGUUCUCAGUCAGAAAUUGUGGCAAAUUUGAGUAAAUGAAGGACUUUGCUUAAAGGUGGGGUAGGCAGGAUCUGAGGAAGUGCCAAUUUUUGGGAGAAAUCUUGAAUGUAAAAACUUCCCUUCCCAGCCAGUUUUCCCCUCAGCUCCUCCUCUCCCCUCCCUCUCUGCUCCAGCAAGCCCCACCCACAAACAGACACUCCUGCUCACUUGUAUCAUUCCAAUUAAAUUCUGAUAUAAUGCAGAUAAAUAAUUCAGAUAAUUACAAAUGGGGCCCACUCAAGGUGAAUGUAAAAAGCCUUGGUGCUACUGUAGAUGCCAACAGACUACCAGCAAACACAAUGUUUGCAGGACAUCUACAACUCGCAUAAGGUGACAUACUCCAGGACCCGAGGUAAUAAGUUUAGCAACGCUACAACACGCAGCAGGUCCUGUUUGACAAGAAACACUUCUAUUACAGACACUUGGCUUACUUUUUUAAAGCGGUUUACCUGUCCAACAGAAAGGUUACAGGGUCCAUAAGAUCCCGAAGUGUCCCCAACAUUUAUGCUUUAUUGAUGUUGACCCAGCUUUUUAGCUCUUGGUCUACCUCUGUUUUAAGCACCCUUUAUUCUGCCAGAGUCUUCAGUAUUUACUUCUUUUCCAGCUUGUGUUGGCAGUCGUGGCCAAAGGAGGAUUCAGACAAUUUUCUGUACUUUCUGGUUGGUUUCUACUGUCCGAUAUUGUAGCACGCUGACUUUGCUUGGGCUUGUGAAUGACACGGGGAGCAGCGUCUGCCUCACAACCAAUCAGCACUAAGGAGCAGCAUCCGCCUCACACCAAUCAGGUUGGGGGAGGUGGAGAAUGGCUUUGUUUACAGUCAGAAAGAGUGGGCCGCUCAAAAAUUUAAAAUGUUGACUACACAGACAUAACAAAACACAUAAAUAUCAUGAUAUUACUAAAUGUCAUCAAUAACUAAUAGCUAUUGACUGAUAUUAAAAGCUUUUUUGUAUAUACACCACAAAAAAGAUGCUUCUUUAAUGGAAUCCUGCCUUCCCCACCUUUAACCUCUAGCUUUCUGCAAAGAACAAAGCCUGAGUCAUGGUCAUCUGGUCCUAAAAUACUUAGAAUAAAUCAUGCAUAUCAAAGAAAUGUAGUAAAAAGGUUAAGGUUAGCAAGUUCACAGUCACUAUGUUUCUUUUUGUUCUAGCAAGGAUAGGAAAACGUGCUGUGUGCAUGCUCUUUGGAAAAACUAAAAGAAUUAACCUAAAAAUUAAAGACUAUCUGCUACAAAGGCCUUAGGAAAGAAAGACAAACACUGGUGCAGCAAAAUUCCCCACAGGAUAGAAAAAAAUCAGAAACCUUAAAGUUCAAAAAGAAAGAUUUAUGUUACACAAUUUUGCCGUUAUCAGACUUACAAAAUAUGAGCUAUUUGUGAAAAAAAAUCAAAAGUUUGAGGAAUAACCUUGAAGUUUCUCUCAGUACAAUUCAAUGUUUGACAAAGGUAACUAUUCAGCAAAGGGUUCACUUCAAACGAGCAAGAGUGAGAGAAAGAAAAAAACAAGGAUAGAGAGGAAGAAAAGAGUAGGUAGGAAAUAAUAACCGCUGUAGAAACACACACACACACCUAUACAAAUUGAUUUCCUGAGGAGUGACAGAAAGGUGUGUCGAGGUCAGUUGGUGAGAGGUUUUAUUUUACCACAAUGCAUUGGAACAAGCCUCCCAGGGACCCAAUCAGAGAGGGAGAUUCAGGCCAGGUUGUUGUCAGCACAUAAAUAGAAACAACAAAAAUCAUGCACACACACAAACACACACACACACACAGAUGUAACAUUUAAUUUUUCAGUGUUUUAAAAAGCGGAGGUCAGGCCACAGAAAUCUGCUCUUUUAAUUGGCGGCAGUUUGAACAAAGUGGGUUAUUAUUCUUGAACAUUAAGCUGAGAUAUCUGCUUUAAUUCUGCUUUUGAAUUGGCUUGAAUUGAUGUAAUCUAAAAAAUGAGAUCACCCUGGUUUAAAUCUUUAGGACUUUUAUCUGAUUCAGUUUAUCCCCUGAUGUGCUCUGAAUUCUCUGCUUUUCUGAUGUACAUAUCUACACUGGUGUUUGAAAAUGUAAAGGUCCAGGGUGAAAAUUAAUACAUGCUGAGCUUGACUAUGAUAUAAGGAUAUAUAAUGGAAAGUGCUUAUAAAGGGAAUCACCUCUCCUGCUGCAAAAACUCUCUUUGAGUUGUAGGAAAUGUCUCCCUUGGCAACAGAAGUGCGUUGAGCUCUUAUUAAGUAAUGAAACAGCAGUUUAAGAAGAUUUCUGUCUGAAUGAAAAGAAGAAAACUACAUAACAGUGAUAAAUAGUGUCAGAAAAACACGUAUCCUAAAUAUUUACCUUUUACAUAUGAAUUAUGAGAUUCUAAAAUCAUAAAAUUAUCUUUUUUUUUCAUGUUUUUUUUUUUUUUUUGUCAUUUUUUAAGUCAUUAUUUAUCCUUCCACUAAAGGGUUACAACUAAAAUAAACUUAGGAUUUUAACAUGACUCACAUAAAUAUAAAACUUAAUUCAAACCAGUAAUUCUUAAUUAUGAAGCUAAGUGACCAAGGACAUUAAAGGGGUUAAAAGAGAACUGCAUGGAGCACUGUUAGUCUGGUACACUAAAUGUUCAUCCCAUAAACAGAGAUCAUGGUCCUCAAGCAGAAAGCUCAGGUUUAAGUUCAACCAUUAGCUCUUUUUCUGCCUGUCACACCCAUCUCUCUGUUAUGAAGUCUACCCACUGUCCGGUCCCUAUGAAAAAAGCAGUAUUUGCAUUCAAAAUUACACCUAUGUUAACACAUUUUUUCAUUCUCUUCUACACCGAGCAAAGAAAUCUGAUGUUUAAAAAUAUUGUUUUUAUUGCAAAUAAAGUCAAGUUUUAAAUCGUCAUCCAGCACGAAGAAAUAAGGAGAAUUGCAGCAGGUUACCAGAAAUUACACCUUGUAAGAUGCAGAAGAACAGAUGUCUUUUUAUUCUUUCUGCAUGAGGACCAUGGCUUUGAUUUUGUUUACUCUUAUACUGCACAUAUCAAAUAGAAGCCGUCCUUGCUGAGUAUGAUUUGCUGUGAUUUCUUAGUAAAAGUAAUUUAAAUCCUGCUAUUACAUUUUUAAUGUCUCGUAAACCUGUGAUGUUUUGCCACUAAGUGUGCAUAAAAGAGAUGUAAAAUACAAUCAAACAAAGUGUACACACAGACAGACAGACACACACACACACACACUCACACACAUUGUACAUCCAUAUAGUGAUGAUUCUGUAGUUUAAAUGAUCAUCAUGGGGGAAACAAAGAGGGACAGUAAAAUUGUUUUCCUAUUCAUGUCUGCAUCUAACCAUCAGAAAUAUAUAUUCGACCUACUCUCUCUGCUCUGUGUAAUUGCUGCACUGCUGCUUACAAAGCAGGAAUUAUUCAGAGAAAUAAAGAGAAGUUCAGAUAAAAAAACACAAUUUGACUGUCUACAUUUGUUACAUUAACCACAGAGAACAUCAGAUGAACCAAACCAACCUGACACACACACACACACACACACACACACACACACACACACACACACACACACACACACACACACACACACACACACACACACACACACACACACUCAAUUGUAGACCUUAAAAGGAGCAACUUAACCUCAGAGAGUUGAUCUUAGCUAAAACCUCCUGAAAUAUGAAAGAUGCGCCGAAAGGGAGUGAAGGGGAGGAGAGAGUGAAUAUUAGAUGGGGAGAGUUGAGGUCAUGAAAAGGUCUGGGACAUGUGCUGUGUCAGGGCUGGAGCAGAGAGAGGUUUGAUAGAGCUGCAGAGAGAAGCCUGCAAGAACUGAACUCACCAGUCGGAUGUGAAAAAGCUGUAAAACCUCACUUAUGUUCAGUCAUGGUGUUGGAAGGAUAAUAUCAAGGCUGCACUGUUUGAAUGCUUUUUUUGUCAAUGCUGUGAUUUCCUGCAUUAAAACUGACUAAAAGGGUCACUGAUGCUGGUGCUAUGCUUUCAGUGGUGAAUGAAGCACCUGAAAUCUUCACCUCAUACUGAUUGUUCAGGGUCUUAAGAUCUUUCUUGUACUUAUGUAUUUGUUUAUUUGACCAUGCACAAAUCCCAGAUGUACAGUAUUGCACCUACAGUGUUGACAGCAAAAUGCCAAUUUGCCAGCAGUCCAAAAAUUUUUAAUUAAUUAGUAAGAAAUAAGACAAAAAGUACGAUUACCAUGCAGUUAUGAAAAUAUGAGUAUAAGUUGAGCUUUAUAAAAACUUUCCCAAUGUUUAUGUUUCAGGUAUGAAAACAGUGUUGUUUCUCUGUCAGACCUUUGUUUAAAACAAAAAAGUUGUAAUGCAGUUUCAGCUCAGUUUGCCAACCUUUUCAAAAGUUUUGCACCAAUAACAGAGAAGACUCUAAGAUUUUAAACAUUUCAAACAAUGGAGAACAUUCAAACAACUUCUGAAUGCAGCAGAAUGACUGCAAACAAUUAAAGCAUAUUUUAGUGCCUGUAAAUCAUCCCUUUAUGUCUGUAAAACAAAAUGCAUUCCUUUUGGAGCUUCAGACUUUCACAGGAAAAUUAGAGCAAAGAAGGUUGAAAUUAUACUAAACAUUUUUUAAGGAGUAAUGAACAACAAUGUGGGUGUGAUUGGGGCUCAGCGGUAUAGCAGGUCAUCUCCUCGUUGGAGGGUCAGGGGUUCAAUUCCAGGCAUGAAUGCGGUGUGAAAGUGACAUGCAUGUGAUGUUAAAGAGCUUUAAAGGUCAGAAGACUAGAUAGGGAAUGAGAGAGAGGGAAACACAGGCCACUUAUCAACACACAAAGUUGGAAACCACAUUAAAGCAGAGUCACACUAUAUUUUAUCUCUGGGAUUGAGAGUGACUUUGAGUAUAAACUCUUUUUACCAUGGUUUUUUUCUUUUUACAUAGAACAGUCUUUAUUUCUGUCUUUCUUUUUAGCUUCUUGUCCAUUUUAAGUUAUUAUUUUCUUUUUAAAAAUGUCAUUUUAAUGAUUUUUGGUUUCGUAAUGGGCCUUUAUUCCACCACAGUUUGGUUUUUAUCUGGUUGAGAUAGCCUUUUAUAGUAUUCACUUAAAAGGUCUUUAAAGGUUUGGAUCUUUGAGAGUCCUUUGAAUCUAAAAUACCAUACCAUUGUUUUCAUAUACAUUAUCUCUUUCUUUUCUUUUAAUCAUCUUUUUAAUUUGCCUUUUACUGUAACAAUGUGCAGUUUCCAUCUUUUGAUAAAGAAAGUGACAGUAAGUGGCUUCCUUUUUUUAAGUAUAUGCAGGCUUUGAGGCUGAAAUUUGACCCUGGUGGCUUCCUGUAGUCUGGAUGUAUACAGCAGUGAGGGAUGUGUGUUUAUAAUGAACUCCAUUAUCCCUCUUUUGUUCCUUCAAAGUUAAACUGACAUGUUUAUACACCAUGACUCCAUGUUUUAGAUUAAGUCUUAAUGCAGCAAUGUCCUGUUCAUGUCUCUCUGAAACCAUUACGAGAACAGUCUGUCUGCAGCUGUGUGUGUGUGUGUGUGUGUGUGUGCUCUGUUUACAUCAGUAAGUUUAGAAAGUCCAUUCUGGGCAAAUCUAUACCAUACUGAAGGAGAGUGUGUGUGUGAUCCUCUGCAUCUGUGUUUCAGCUUUUAGUGGAACAACACACAUGCGUGCGCACGCACACACAGCUUGGUGAAAAUCAUUACAAGCAGGUGUGUUUAGAUAGAUCCAGUUUCGCUGGCCGCCCUUGCACAAACAAAUGUACUCUCCCUCUCCUCUUUUUUUUCUCUCUCCCUCUUUUUCCUCCUCUGACUCUCUACGUGGUGUUUUUUUUCUGUUUACUUUUUCCCUGCACAAAAUGCAUGCCUCUUCAUUUCCUCUGGUGUAUUUGUGAGUCUGUAUUUUUGCAGCAAACGUUCAUGCAGAGCUGCAAAAACUUACAUACAGGUCUGAGUUGGUACCUGUCCUAAAUGUGAGCACGUAAAGAGGACUCACCUGCUCAAAGACAAGCACACGAACUCUCUUUUUCAAACCUCUUAAGUCAUUCUCACUCAAAGUUUUGCUCUUAAAUGUCUCCAAAGAGAGCUCAUCAUGUUUUUUCUUCCUUGCUUUCCUUGGCUAAACUGAAAGCCUUGCUUUAAGUGCUUUUUGGAGUGUGUUGUUGAAUUAAAGUUGUAACUAAAUCCUUCAAUGAGUUGAUAUGCGAUUGCUUUAGUAAGAUGGCUGUGGUAUAUACAAUGGAGAAGGCCACACAAUCACCUAAAACAGGUGUAUUUAUUCUCCAGGGCUGACAAGAUCCUCAGCAGAUCUGAUGCAUAUUUGAACAGAUACUUUAAUCCUCCUUAGGUCCUGUUAAUGACAACAGUUAUUGGCUUUACACUGUCUGGCAUCCUUCACCACUCCUCUCACAGUACUAUCCAACAAUUCUGGUCUUGGAAAUAUUUUGCAAAACCUAAAUGAAAUUUUUAGAUGGCAGAGUGAUCAAAGUGACUACAUUUUAAAGUCUUUUUUUUUUUUUUUUUUACUAAGUAGAAGCUCAGAUAGUCAAUUUAGUUGAGGCUAUUAUUGUUUUUUGUCUGGUGGGGAUACUUCAGGUGGCAGGCUUUCUGAGGGAUCACUGUACGUUUGCUUUUUUUUUGUUUGUUUGUUGUUUUUUUUUGUCAGAACUGAACACAUGCAUAUGGUGGCUUAAAAUGUCUGAAAUCUUCCACAGCUUUGCAGGGGUGAUAAAAACCAACAUUAGAAAGGAACCAGGUUUUUAAAGUCAUGUAGGUGUUUGCCCCUGCUGCUUAGAAACAAACUGCAACAGUUUGUUUCUAACAAACAUGUGUCAGGGAUCUGCACAGCCAAUGUGCCAAACCAUUGUCGAGGAUGUGUGGCAGCCAUCAUACCACAAGUGCAUCACUGACUUUAGUCCCAUGGAGAAAGUCCAACAUAAUGUCUAUGGUUUUUAAUUCUAUCUUUGGCCCAUGUUUGGCUAUUUACAGGGUUCACAUUAUAUUUAAUUUUUGAGUUAUAUUUCAAUGUUCUGUAUUGCAUGACAUCCUUAUUUUUCCUGAUCAAACUACCUUGCUUCUGGUUGCUCAGUGUCAAAUCCUUUUCUGUCAGUCUGUCUCCGUGUACACAUCAUCUGCUCCUGUUUUGCUGAGGUGUAUUUAUAUUUCUGAUUAUGUGUAUUUAUGAGUCAUGCUGCAGCAGAAGGAUGACAUGGCUGUGUUAGCAUUUAAGCCUCUUCAUGUCACACAUGUUGGUCCAACAUGCACUGUGCUCAUCUGUAUUCCUUGAUAAGCAUGCAUUAACUGUUUAGAGUCUGACCAUCUUUGUGUGUAAAUGCAGAAGUCUCAGUUCAUGUGUGAGCAUAGACUGUAUAGUAUGGACAACGUCACUCUGCCUUCCGUCAUUGUAUUAUCGGUAUACAAUGAUGGUAUUUCCGAGAUUGUCUCCUCUUCCUGAAACCGGCAUUUGUGCUGUAGUGUUCAACAGGAGAGUCGCUGUGAUGACGCUCUGCUCAAACAACGUAUCCCACAGAUAAUCCAUACAAUCUUCAUACACCCAUAGGCUGCAUCAAGUGUCAAUCAUAGAAAACAUGAUGUCAUAUCCUGUUUUUAUAACCCAGAAUAACUUUUAAAAAAGGAGCUGCACAGAAAAAGAACCUGAGCACAAAUCAGUUAUAGUGAUUUGAAAUGAGCCUCAUACGGUCGCACCAAAAUAUAUGUAGCGAUUUGAAAUGAGCCUCACAAGGCCGCACCAAAAUAAUACUUGGUGAUUGGAAUUUAUAAUAAAUGUCUGAAGAUUAAUAAUCUCAAAUUAUGACAUUUAUGCACUCGUUGAAAGGGGCACCACCCACCCUUAAUGGUGGGAAAAUAAAGAAAACAAAAGUUUAAUUCAGAAAUCAAACAUCAAGUCAGUUUUAAUAAAUCAGUCUUAAUUAAUCAGUCUCAUAUCUUAAGUCGAAAUUCUAAUUUCAGGGACUCCACUUCUGGAAGAACACUAACAGACAGGAACUUAGAAAAAUAAUGAUCUGUUUAUUACAGGAUAAAUGAUGGUACAACACACAUGCAAUAAAUGAUGAUAAGAUAAUGAAGAUAAAUAAUAAUAGGUGAAUAAAUAAAGAUUCUGAGUCAGGCUAGGAGCACUAAAGUUAAUGAUAGUGAGUGAAUAUGUGCUAACAUAUUAACCUACACUAACUUUGGUGUCGAGAUAAACUCGGAUGUGGAUUUGGAGGAAUCUAAGAUCACCAGAAAUAGGUGGAUAUCUGAGUUAUGAACGCAUGAGACAGCACCAGCCCUCUUUAGAGCUCUGGAGGUUUGCAUACUUAAGUGAGACUGGUCCUUGGAGAAGAUGGAGCAGGUUCCGAAGGUCCGGGGCUACUGGCGGUUCGAGCGGUUCAGCUCAGAAGACGACUGAAGUCAGCCGAAGGAUGAGCCAGGAGUUGCAGCACUCGGGCCCGAAGCAAAGCCAGCGCCUGUGGAUCCUGUGGAUGCUCGUUUGGGUACUUCUUUGGUCUCACUUAAAAACUCUGGCACAGAGGAUGACCUGGGCCUGCUGGGUUGCGUUCAGAGGUGACUUGAAAUCACGCAGAUAACUCAGAAAAACGAGGCUCAAAGAGCAGAGAAAACUUUCAAAAAUGGCUUCGCGAAAUUAAAGAAAAAUCAAUCAAAGGCUUAAUCUUGAAUUGCUAUGUGCACAAAAAGUUGAAGUUUCAAAACUUGAACUAAGACGAUGUUAAAGAAAAAUCAACGUGAAUCAACACGUGGCGUAAAACUUAGUAGACCAAGAAAAAGUUCUAAGAGAAAAUAAAGAAACGCACCACAGAAGGGUGUGGGCAGAAGAGAAGGGGCAUAAGAGCCGGGGACAAGAGAGUCCGCAGAAGAGCAGAAGCAUAAGAGAGAUAAGAGGAGCAUAAGAGAGAGUGAGCAACCCGACUUCACUGGUUUUAUCUUCUCACACUGGGAGUGGCUCCGGCGUGUGUGUGAGACAGAGGAGGGGUCGUGGAAUCUCUGAUUAUUUGAUCUAACUUAUUCUUUUGGCUGGUAAAAGAGUCAGAUCUGAUACUCACUCACUAUGAUUAAUAUCAUUGAAUGCUUGGUUUCAUGAUAAAUAAUUUGAUACUAAACACAUAUGAAUGAAGUGUAGGAUCACAUCAAACAUUCUCAUUAUGUUUUAAGUAUCACAUUGAACAUGCUAAAUUACUCUGAAAUGAAACAGAUAGUAACACAUAGAAACUGUGAACAACAAAAGAGUAAACACAUGUGAAUGAACGUCAUCAUGAUUAAUAAUGGAUUCUAAAUACUCACAUUCAGAUUAUUCAGUGACAUUAUAACCACCUAAUGGUUAAGAUACUAAAUAAAUAACUAAAAUAUAAUCCAAACAUUUCUAAACUAUUUCUGUUACUUAGAGUAAACUUAGGAUUCAUAGUCAAUAAAUUUAACUCUUAAAAGUUCAUGAAACAGUCUGAAAAGCUGUUGGUCUAAAGAACUAAAGAAUAAGGAUUUAUUCUGUCAGAUAAGAUAACUUGGCUUCUGAAGCACAUAGAAAAACGGGAAACAUCUCAUUUUAACACAAAUUUCAUGAUUAGACAGAUUAGUACAUUGCUGAAUGCAUAAGAUGUCAUGAUCAGUCAUUUGUAUUCUUUCACCAAAGGAAUGCAGUCUUUAUCAGUGUAUGGUCGAGCAGGGUUUUACGACCGAGGUCUGGAGGUCAGUGUCCCCCCUUAUCCUGGGGUCCGUAUGUU